Xyrichtys novacula (pearly razorfish) is the source of this 53570-nucleotide non-coding RNA. The record is from the annotation of a GenBank genome assembly. Lineage: Eukaryota; Metazoa; Chordata; Actinopteri; Labriformes; Labridae.
UGGUUCAACAUGGAGGACUUUGGAGGGAAGAGGAGCUGCUCUCAAACAAAGACCUCUUACCAUGGUAGGGUGAAAUCUUUUGUUCAGGUUACCAAAAAACAUGUAAAUGUCAUAUACUACUAAACAUAUACCAAUAAAUAAACCCGCUUGUGUGUCUGAUGCAGAGCAGCAAAAGUAGGCCUACCAUUUAUCCUACCUCAACAUGUGCUAGCCACCAAAAGUGCUACUCAGAAAUUCUGCAAAUACAUUCAACCUUGUGUUGUCAUAUGACUGUACAAGCAAUUCAGUGUGAAAGAGGCUCUUUCUGGUUCACAAUUAUGUGGGUUUGAAGUUAAAUGACACAAAUUAAAAACCAAGAAAACGUAAAGAAACUUUGGGGGUUUGCACCAGCAGGGUAGCAGAAGUUACCACAACACCAGUAGUAUUUAAGUUAAGUUUCCUUCCACAUUCCAUCAAUUCAUAAGCUCAACUGCUGGUGUUUUACUCCCAGAAAGUCACUUUUUUUCUUAACCAGCGCUUUAAUUUUGUAUGAGAAAGAAGGUUAAAGUUCGAGCUCAGUGUUCUGACAGCAGAAAGUUUCCCCGUUGUUUGCAUUCUUCAUGCAAAGUUUUUACCUUACCAAAGACUAAUGUAGUAAAAGGCAAAAGUACACAGAUUAAAAUGUAGGACAAGUUUUAGUUUACUGCAACAGUGACAGAUCUGACCGUGUGUGAUGACUGACUGAAAUUAACAAAUGAGUUUACUCAUGCAACACUGACAUCAACUUCAACAUAGAUAUUUGUGCAAAUGUCCUCUGUGGCUUUAAAAUGCUAUACUUAGAUAUUUUCUAAUAAGUGAAGCAUAUUGAUGAUUCUUCACCCUGACUUCAACACUGAGCAGAAACCUCUCUGACGUAUCAGCUGUUCCCACUCGGAUGGGAACUCUGAAGCAGAACCAGUCGUGAUGGAAAAACCACCUCUGAGGGGCUCGUGUUUUCAUUCACCGUGUGGAAACUGUGCACAAUUCAAGGAAGCUCCAUCUCCUCGAAGCCCCAUUGUCUGAAGUGGCACUCGGCCCAAAGUGUCUCUGCUAUUUCCCUCCUUUCAACCAUAGCUGUGACCGAAUCACCUGGCCGGCCAGCUCCAGGUUCACCCAGUCGUAACCUCUCUACCGCCUGUGUCCUUACUUUACUUAAAUGUGUCAGGAGCUCCUUUCUUUACAGCCUCUACUAUCACAGGAACUCAGGUCAUUUUUGGUAGUAAUUCUCUGAGGAUUAAACCUUUUCUUUUCUUAAAGACAGGAUCUGAAACACCGUGUAGCUCUGGGUGGGGUCUUCCUGUAAUGUUUUGUCCUUGUUGGAAUUUGCAUGUGAUUCGUUCAGACUUGAUUUUGCAUUGUGCUGCAGUUUAACACAGGAAUUUGCAUUGUGAUUCAUUUCUCAAUGGAAUUUGCAUCACUUUCAUGUUCACUCCAACUUCCACGCUGGUAUGCUUUUUGGAGUGGUCCUUGUUUUGCCUCUUCCUGAAGAAACAGAGCAGGGAUAUUGAAGUGUUGAUUUUUCUGCGGUUUGCCUCACUUACGCCCCACGGUGAUGAAUGUCUGUGGUUCUCCCAGUGGAGGCAGAUGAUACAGAUGUGAAGCAGAGAAGUGACAGGCCUGGAUGACAGACAGGAGCAGCAUUAUCUGCCUUUAAGUGUCCUCAACUGAGUCCAUACAAACAGUCAGCUGUUUAAGACAUGGACAUCUUCAUGGCAGUGGGUCAAAGAAAUUAAGAUUUAUUGGGUUUUGGUCCUGAUGACUCCUCUCACUUCACUUUUGUCUCAUAACAAAGGGGUAAAGAUGUCAAAUAAAGCAGUUGAUCACAUCACAAAAAUGUUCCUGUCAUGUAGUCCAAAUGAGUGUGUCCAGUCCUGGCUGGGGGGACUUUGGUACUGACUUAUGUAGAGGCGUAAUCAAGUUCUGUAUUCUCCAACAAACUAUCAUACAGUUACCAUAGAUUUGAGAAGAUGGAUCACAGACAGCUUGAGCAUGAUUUUCAUCUUGUAGUUUUGAAGUAAUCUGCGGAUCUUUAGGAAAUUGCGCAGUUGCUGUUGUUUCUGUGUGAAGUUGGAUUAGGUUAGGUGAAGCCAGAUGUGUUUGUGACAAUAGCCUGCUAUGUUCUGCAGUUGGUUUCUUAAUACCACCAAAAUUUUUUUUGUGUGGUUACCUCCCCGAUGACCCCAGAAUCUGGGUUUCUCUGUGUGUACAGUUUAGUUAGUCUUGAUCGGUUCUUAAUUUGUACAAAUGUGUGGAUUUGGAUUCACAAACAGAUUCAUACCCAGUGUAUAAGAAUUUUGCAAACAAUGCACACAUAUUCCAAAUGCAAGUUGUGUGCAUGGUUAACGAAUCUGUGCAAGGGGGGUUUACAAAACCUCCAAAUCCAGUCCCAGUGUGCACUGAGUCACUUUGUACAUGGUUCAGAACACGGCUCCUUUGUUUUCUUGACCUGGCAACUGGUUCAUGGGGGUUUCCACACAAAUAAGAAACAUUGAGGGAAAGGGGCUAUUCCACCCAAGGGUGCUCUCUGGACACGCCCCUGGAUGGAUGGCAUUUAGUAGAGUAGAUCAUUUCAGAUAUUACCUUCUACAUGUGUGGGUGACUGUUUAUUUGUUUGGUCAGAUACUUCUGUCUUAUAAAUUUGGAGCUUUAUCUGUGCAGCUCUUGAGGUCCAAGACAAAUUUUCCGAAGGGGACAGUAAAGUGUAUCCUAUCAUAUAGUAUCGUAACAUAUUGUAUCAUAUUGUAUCUAAUCCUAUCAUAUCAUAUCGUAUAACAUAUAAUCGUAUUGUCGUAUCCUAUCUAUCAUGUCUUAUUGUAUCUAAUCAUAUCGUAUCAUAUUGUAUCUAAUCGUAUCUUAUUGUAUCGUAUUGUAACUAAUCCUAUUGUAUCAUUGUAUCGUAUCGUAUCGUAUCUCUCUAUCGUAUCAUAUUAUAUCUAAUCUUAUCGUACCAUAUCAUAUUCUAUUUAAUCGUAGUAUCGUAUUGUAUCUAAUUAUAUCGUAUCAUAUCAUUGUAUCGUAUCGCAUCUAAUCGUAAUGUAUCGCCCUAUUGUUUCAUAUUGUAUCGAAUCGUAUCAUAUUAUAUUGUAUCUAAUCGUACUGUUUUGUCGUAUGAUCUGAUACAAUAUCUGACCAUAUUGUGUCAGAUCGUCCUAUCGUAUCAUACCGUAUCGUAUCAUAUCUAACCAUGUUGUAUCCUAUCGUCCUAUGGUAUCGUAUUCUAUCGUACUGUAUCGUACCGUCGUAUUGUAUCAUCUCGUAUCAUAUCAUAUUGUUGUAUUGCAUGGUAAUGUAUCGUAUACACUUUUUCUCGGUGUUUAGACCUUAUUACGGGAUUUGUUAGAAUCUAAAAACAAACUCAGACAACUAGAAAGUCAUUCUCACAACACGCUCUUCGUGUGGUAACAUCUGUGUCAGAGCAGCUUUAUAGGGACUUUUUACCUCUGCCUCACAUCGUCAAACUUUACCCAACUUGCAGCCAAAAAAAAAAGUUAAAGUUGAAGAGCUUCAAUCUUAGCCAAGUCUGGCCCUCAGGAUCAUAGAUCAUAGCCAUAAAUGAACAAAUAUGGGGCAGCAUCUGUGCAAACUGUAUCCAAUGUGUAAAGAGUGAGUCAGAGUCACACGCAGAGAGCAGGGAGAUUAAAUCAAGAUGAGAUUUUGUUUGCUGCUCGGAAUUUCCACAGCCUUUAGCUACAGUGACAAAGAGCGGAGACGCCACAUGAGAAAUGGAGACUUUUUACAGCCGACUGACGGGUGUGAUGCCAUCCUGUAUCUGUUUAGGCUUUUAUUCUUUGGGACAGACUUUUUUAAAAAAGAAGCAUUUAUAAUAUCGGUCAGUCCAUGUUAAUAAAAGAGGACAUUGUGCUUCUUGUGACAAGGACCACUGAGAAAGCCAGUUUAUGUGAGUCAGUGCUGCGGGGCAACAAUCGUCAUAUUUAUUUAGAAAUGAUAGAAAUAGACAAGCUUUGAUUCUUUUUUCAAUCACAGUAGAAGGACAGUUCAGGAAAUGAGGACAAUCCCAAAGAAGCUAGAGAGAUAGAAAAACCUGAAAAAACAGAACAAACAAUACAGAGAUAAAUAGUCAGAGCACCCUGACAACAAACCUUCAACACCAGAAGUGAAAUAUUCCUACUUAUUUCAGGCAUAUAGAGAGAUAAAGUACUGUGAUAAGACCAGAACAGAGAGGUCCAGAUAGACAAAUAAUAAUAAUACAGGAAGGAGAAACUCAAAGCUCUUUCAAACUCAGUAUCUACGGGAAGUACCUGGAGCUUAAAGUCCAGGACCCAGACUUAAAUCCAGCCUGAAUGAUCUGAGAUUACUCCCAGAUUAUGACUAUUAGACAGAGAAGAAGUGGCAUUUUGUCAUUAUUUAGUUGAAGGAAGUUCUUCGUAGUUCAGUAACUAAUCGACAACCUAGUGGAUUUUUUCUCACUUAUUUGGGUUUAGAGUAGAGGAGUAGGUGAGUGUCAUCUGCAUAGAGAUAAUACACGAUGUCAUAGCUCUUAAUAGUCUGUUUUAAGCGCAGCAGGUGAAGAGAAUAGUAGAGGCCCUGGUGCUGAUCCCUGAGGCACACCACAUAACGAUCAAUAAUCAGUGUUUUCCACCAAUAACAUGUGUUUGUUUAUUCCUGCUGGGGUUGUAGGGACUCCAGUCUAGAUAUCAGAGUCAGAAUGGAGCAGGACAAAACUGUAUAUUGGUAUCUUGUUUUCACCUCAGGCAGCAGGCAUCUCAACACAAAAGCUCUAAGUGCCGUUUUUUUGUUCUCAAAGCUGUGAUAACUUACCACCCACAUUCCUGCUGAGAGGGAGGAGGCAGCGAUCAGGAGAGAUUCACCUUUAUGGAAUUUCAUUACAGCGGAGAUCUGCGCGGUAACACGGGCCGUGAUCCAACCGACAGGAGCGAUCAUGUUCAGUGAUACAGUCUGAUGAGCCGUGAGCAUGGGUGGCUUUACUCUCUAUCCUACUUGGACCACAGUGGACGAUUUCAAGCAUCUUUACUGGUUAAAGGGUCAGGUCACCACGAAAAUCCUGACAAUUUCUGGACUUUUCCUCUGACACAGCAGGACAUCAUCUGUGAUAGAUUCAGUCCUCCUAUCACUGCUAUCAUGUGUGUCUUUAUCGUGGUUUAUCCUCCCACUUCUUAAUCCUUACUUUCCUUCUUUUUGAGAUCUUUUCCACCUAAACUUUCUUCACACUCGUCUCUCUGACCUUUCAGCUACCCUCUCAUCUCUCAUUUCCAAAACCCUGUGAUCCAAAGAGCUUUGACGUGAGUUACAACGACCACGUGUAACUUUCUCUAACUCUGACCUCUCUCUCAAAGACUCCACAGAGUGGACUGAGGUGCCAGAUACCUGUUGGUAUGUGGAUCAUAUGGCAUCCAGAUUUUAACUUUCUGCUUCAUACCCAAAAGUCAGGCCAACAGAACGUACUGAUCCAAGCUAUGACAUAACAGUCUUUCUUUCAUUAUAAGGCUGGAAAAUUUGAAUAUGACAAAGGCAGAGCGAGCAAAACUUGACAGUGCACUGAAGCUUGAAUCAGGAAAAGAGUAUUCUGGUUAUCAUGAGAAGAAACAAAAUAGUAGAAAUUAAAUGGGAAUGAACUUAUCCCUCACAACAACUUUUAUGUUCUCUUUAAAGUCCCACUCUGGUCAUUUGUUUUUUACUACUUAAAGUGUCCUCAGUCAUCUUAAAUUGUGAUUAUGAAGUUUUUAGGCAUAAUCUCAUUACCUGUGUCAUUUUCAAGAACUUUUCUUCUGCAGAGUUCCAGUAGAUCAUUAGCAACUCACCUCUGAGUCGUGGGCAGAGACAGCUCUGCUCUGCACACUCAUCUUCACAUUAAGUUUGUGGCCUAACAUUGUCAGUGUAGUAGAAGUAGCAGGUAACAUCGGAACUAUUCAGCUCUCAGACACUAAUGUCUCUAGAGACAUGAUGAAAGUUUAUUUCACAAUCAGCUUUCUUACAAUCGUUGCUUAUGCACAAGCUUGUUCCGCAAUCAUCCUCUCUUCUUUACAGAGUCUGGCCUGCAUUGAGGGGCGGAGCUUGGAAUUGUGAUGUAAGAAAUCUCACUGUUUCUGAACCUGCCAUUUGGGUCUGCCAGAUAUUCAUAGCGAUUUGAAUGCAGAAAUAGUUUUCCCAUUGUAUUGGCAACAUGAAAAACAUGAUUUUCAUCAUGGGUCUUUGAAUUUGUCAUAACUGGAGAGUUGAAAAGGAUAUACGUAUGAAAUCCACUUGUUAUGCUCUUGCAAAUGCAAGAGGAACAAACUUCUUUCUUUCUUGGCUAAACACGGUGAGAUCUUCGUUACAAGGUGUUUAACAAAGAUCUGGUUGUUUUGCGUAUAAAUACAUAAAUCACAAACUGGAGGAAAGGAAGUAAUUCUAAAAAGUUCUGGGCUAGCACUGGUUCUGGUCCAUUGGAGAAGAUUUUGGUAGGGUUUGGAUAAAACCAGUAGGAGUCACUCUUCUCUGUGGACAUGUGCUCUAAUAAUCAGAGCUUGGGGACUAAAUAGGCUCUUAAAGUCUGCAGGAAGACUUUGAGGGUUUAUAGUCUGCUGCCUGACACAGUGGAAGCACCUGUUGAACAAAUGUCCAACAGAUUUCCAUCUUUUUACGGCUCUGACUAUAAUCCUGCCUGCCCUGCCAACAUUUUUUCUCCCUGAUUUUGGACUUUCUGUGUCCAGUUUGAGAGUACAGAAAUAUUUUCACAACUCAUGUUUCAAAAAAUGAAAAUCAAACACCUGUGGAGCCAGUUAAAGAGCAAAAAUAACUAAACUUCUGCUCAGAAGUGUUCAUUGUUAGUUGACAUUAAUUAAUAAGUCUGCACCCUUGAUCGAGGAAUCCAAACUACGCUGGUUGCCAGGAAGCUGAUGUUGCCACAGCGGCCGAGACAGGCUCAGACAUCUUGAUUGUGUUUACGUCUUGAGGAGUAGAUUAGCGGUUUGAGAACAUUCAGUCACUGAGGGAUGUUUGAUUCCUGCACUGCAGCCAUCUUCCUGUCAAUAUAAUUCCAGAAAUACCGAGAGCAAUUCGGCUCCAAAUUCGUAUAACGACGGAAGGCAGAGCCAAGUUGUCCACAGUAUAUACAGCCUAUGAUUAGGACUGAUAUGCCCAAAUAAUGUGAGUGGGGAUCCAUUUUUUUAUUGGAGCACUGCUACACUCCACUCUGAUGGAUGCAGAGUGUCCCCUGUUAUUUGUUCUGUAAUGUCAUGACAUUGAUAGAUUGAUGGUACGACCACGACAGACUGAAAAAGAAACAUUACGGAGGAAUAGCGGACAGUUUAAAGCAUCCAGGUGUCAUCUAGCUCCUCCUUUCAACUACACUGGGAAACUUAUUGUGACCGGACGAGUACCAACCUGUGGAUAGUUGUGCAUAUCAGUAAAGUCACUACACGAUUUAUUUAUUUAUUCAUUUGGCUCUGUAUACACCAAAUCUGACACAUCCUGAUGGACCGCAAGAUCUUGUGUUGCUGCCUCAGUAUCACGGGCCAAAGAAAGAAUCAUGGUUUAAGGCCAUUCAGUAUAGACUUUGUUUAAGAAGCAAGCAGGAAAAAAAAUUCUGAAGUACAUUUCAAGCUCCCUGAUCAAUAGUUUUCUGUCUGAAACUAUACUUGUGUACUCGCCUGUCAUGCACUCACAUGUUUAGAGCUCUGUAAACACAUGUUUUUGCCGUGUAAAUGAACCCUAAGAAUGAAAAAGAAAAAAACGAGACAGCAUAUUCUAAUGCAAUAUUUGUUUGACUUUAAGCUUGAUGAUGCCUGUUAAAGCGACAGAGGAGAUAACAGAUUUUUAUUGAAGCAUAUUUACCUGAAGCUUUAUGCUUUUGUUGGUGUUUUAUCGACUGCUCCGUCCACAUUGACUUUGUGUUUCAGGGUUUUGUUUACAUUUCAUGGGUCUCACAGAUGGCAGUAUUUGUUUAAGUCUGACAUGUUGGAGCUGCUGCAGACAGAUUCUUCACAGUCUUUUUUAAUACUAUAGAAAUAAAGUGAUUAAGUUGGUCUCGGCAGAGUUGAUAAUCGCAGAAAUGGCAUGCUUGCAGCAAAAACAAAUAGGGCACAUCAUCAGACAUGCUGCAGUAAGUUUAAUUAUUACCACCAGCAUUUGUAAAAACAUGUUUUAGCACACAUACAUGCUCUCUAAUUCUGUUUUUUCAUGAAUAGCACUCCAAAUGUGGAAACCUUUCACCCGACUGUGACGGCUUUGUCCUGCCUGCUAACGCUGUAGCCAAACUUUUCAUUAGUAGUUUCCUUUUCCUCCUAUUGUUAACCACAUUUGUGCUUUUUUGAAUGCUGUAGAUAAAAGCUGCAGCUGAAUUCUCACAGAGGUAAUAAGAGCAAGGUUGUGACGUAAAGUAAAGAGUAUGAUUUAACGAUGUUGGUACUUGGAUCUCAGGAUUGAUUCAAAGUUUUUGGUUCUGGGACAUUUGAUUCUUUUUCAGCAACAGUUGUUUCAGCUGAAGUGAUAAAUACUUGUGGGUUUUUUAGCUCAUUUUUUAUCCACUCUUGUUAUAAAGGGAGUAGAAACUGGCCUUGAAUGCAUCAUUACUCUCUGUGCGUGACUCAUCCAAACCGUUUACACAUUCAGUGUCCCUAUUUUCCCCUAAUAGGACUUUUCCAAAGAAACCCUGUAAGCCUUGCAUUGUUCUGAGUGUCUCUCUUUAGGGCUUCAAUUUUCCCCCUGUGCACCUUUACUGUUUUAUUAUAAUGGACCAUUUGUAAACUGACAGUAAAGGGAAAGACUGUGUGAUGUCACUUUAGAUUCGCAAGGACAGAAAACAAAGAUAUAGACGAUCAAUUAUUCCACAUAUAAAAAAAAUUCAAGCAUGAAAAUAAUAGUGUGAUACUCAUUUCAACAAAGCAGCAGGGUCGGUGUUUUGGAGUUAUCAAUAAAGUACACGGCGUGGAAAUCGGUGAAGAAAUGAGCAAGAGAUUUAAUUUACAUGUACGUCUAAUAUCUUUGAUGGGAACGUAGCCCUCACCAAGAUAGAUGCCAUGUAGGCAAGUCACCAAGUGGGCUGCAACAGUGCGCUAACGUAUCUAGUCAUAUAUAUUUGUGCUAACAAGAGCCUCUCGCUCAGUCGCUCCAAGUCACAACUUGCGGGUCACAACAGACAAGUGAAUGAAACUUGAAGUACAAGGUAUCAAUGCAUGUAUUUUUUAUCUUCGAUUUCCAUUUGAAGCCACGUCACAGAAAGUCAAAUACUGAGUUGUUUUUUUGUUCUCUGAUUUUUAUGAUCAAAUUGAAAAACAGAAAACAGUUUGUUUUCCGUUUUUCAAUUUCCUACUGAUCAUUGGGAGACGGCUCGUUUUGAAAUUUUCAUUUUUUCAUAAAAAAGUGAAAACCUGUUGGCCGCUAAGUAGUUUUUUACAAACUUGUUUUAUGCUUAUCAGGGUCACAAUUUGGCCAAUCAUAAGCCAUAUAAGAGGAUAAGACGACAUGACCACACCUUGAAAGUGAAGCCAGAACAUUUGGAGCUCCCUCUACUGGCAGGUGGCAGCUUUCUUCAUAUUUAAUAACAGCUGAGCCACAAAAGCACAUCAAAUUAAUUUCACCUGAAUAUUUAACUCUUUGAUGUUAAUCGAGGGGAUGUGGUUAACUGAUAUUAGUUUUUUUUUAAUGGCUGAUGCCGACAGUGAGAGAAAACUGUGGUUGCAUUUGCCAAACACAUAAGAAAGUCUGUUGUCUGAGAGAAGCUUGAACAAUCAGAGGUUCAUUCUUUCCCAUCGAGCUUAAUGACCACUGAGAAGUAUUUGGCUUCAGCGCUCAAGGUCAGCAAAGAUUGUUGUCUGAGAAAGUCUGGCUGAGGCUCCUGAGUCUGCGGUCGUCAGCUCUCCAACAUCUUAUCAGAUAACUAUGCAUCUGAUUCCUGCUACGGUGUAAUUUCACAUUUUGAAAACAUUAGAUACAUGUGGUGAGUUUAAGCCUCACUCUAACAGUGUGUUAUUGUGUAUCAUGGUACUUAUUGCAGCUGUUGUAGUAUUUGUAUGUUUUUGUGGCCACAAGUUAUUUCAGGUGAACAUUAAUUUCCUUUUGAGACAUGCAGCAGACAAAGAGCAACAUUAGUCACUUCUUGGGUUAGCAUUCCUGUGAUUAUCUCCAGGAAAUCUGCUGUAGUCACUUAAUGCUUGUUGAUGAAAUUAUGUGGCUCUAAAGAAACAGACUUUUAUUUUUUAAAUUAUAAACAUAAAAUUUAACAAUAAAGCACAUAAUGCUCACCAUUGUCUCUAUUUAGUCAUCAAUAAUUAGCAGGUAAACGAGCAUUUGUCAUCACCUUUUUUGACACUGGUAUCAUCAAAGCAUAGAUCCAGUGUUGCCAACCCAGCUUUAGCAACUUUUCAGACCCCCCUAGCAACUUAUUUUUCAAAAAGCACCUAGCAACAAAUCUAGCGACUUUUUCUGGAGUUUAGAGACUCUAACAUGAAAGCAGGUAUCAAUGUUAAUCUUCUCAACGGGUAGACGGUGUGCACCCCGGACAGUGGCGGUCAGUGGCAGUGGUAGGUUUGACUGAGGAAAUUAUGCAAAUUAGGCAAUGAUGUCACCUAGCGACUUUAAUGACAGCCACUAGCAACUUUCCUUACUGAGGAGUUAGCAACACUGCGUAGAUCAUAUUUUUAAAACCAAAAACUCUGCACACCCUGAAAAGACCCACAUUAUGUUUACUACUAAAAAAAGUUAACUGUUUUUUUUUGGGAUAGAAUAAAUAGUAAAGAGUAAGAAGCACUUGUGCCUGAGCAGGUGCAUCAUGGGAGUGAAGUAACGAGAGAUGGAAAUCAAACUGUACACACAUCUAUACACACACGCACACACACACACACACAGUUUUUAGAGGAGGCCAAAUCAGACGUUUACGAUCAGUGAUAAGAGCCGUCCUGAGUGUGUGAGGGAGGAUACCCGUAUAUUUGUGUGUGUGCGUGUGUGUGUGUGUGUUGGAUUUGUCUCCUGUUACAUCUGGUUUUAAUGAGGGGAUUCCACCGCUGUGCCAGGCAGAGCAGAAGAGAGCAAGAACACGCACACACACACAAACACACACACACACACACACACACACACACACACACACACACACACACACACAGAAGAGACUCUUAACUCAUGACAUGGAACAGCGCUCUUAUUCUGAAGAGGUGCACAGUGUGUGUGUGUGUGUGUGUGUGUGUGUGUGUGUGUGUGUGUGUGUGUGAGGAGGAGAGGGGGGUUACGCUGACAUACCGCUGUCUCUCCUAAACUAACACAGAUUAACUUACUGACCCUCCUCUAUAUACAAUCUUGACCUUUUUGACAUCAUUGAAGAAGAAUUACCACCUCAUUAUUGUGCACCUCUGUCAACCUCCAUCAGUUUGCAGUGAACUUCUAUCUCUGUUUCCUUACAGUCAACCGUGGUGAUAGGGGGGAUAUACAGUACACAUGUAGUAUAUAGUAUUACCAAUAAUAAAGUCUUAAAGCCUGGAAGUUUCACUAGAUUAUGUCAUAUGUCAUACUCCCAAAGACCCAACAUCAACAUGGGAUAAGAUUGAGCCCCAUCUUGUAAAAUCAAACCAACUUAACAAGCUACAGUUGAGAGGGAAAACUUUAACAGGAAGAAAACUUGAGCAGAACCAGACUCAUCUGCAAAUUGGGGUGGUGCUGGUCUAGUGGUCUACGCACAUGCUCCAUUCGAAGAGAUUAUGUCGGCUUGGGGUCAACGACUGAAUCACGGCAACUGCAGUGGCAUGGAUUAACAGCACUUUAAGACAGAUGUAGAGAUGUUGCUGCAGGACGAAUCAUUCUUCAUGGCUAAUACUCUGUUUCCAGAGCUCAGCUAGAAGUACUGCAAACCACAAGGCUAACAGAAAGUUGUAGCUAACUCAAGCCGAAUGUUGUAUCAGUGGGUUUAGCAUAGCUAGCUGUUGAUAUUUCAUUAUAAAACUUGUGUUGAUUUAGGUGUUAUCAUGUUGUGCCUUUGCACAGCAGUGUGGCUCACAUGUACCCUCCACUCUUUCAUUAGAAGUUCAGAGCUUUGAUUUUUCUUCUGCAUGUUUUCUGUGUUUGCACAUGUCUCGUGUGAAAUCAGCUGUCUUGUCUUUUAUUUUAUUUUUUUUUAAUUACCAUUUUGAUAUAUUUAGGGUGACUAUACAUCCUUCUUUACCUGGACAUGUCCUCUUUUUUGGGGGGCUGUCAAGCCUUGUUUGGGGGGCGUUUAUAAAAUCCUUCAAAUGUCCGGGGUUUUGUAUGAAAGUUUUGAGUUUGUGUAGCGCGGACUAACUGAGUUGGAGGUGCGUAAAAAACACUUCACCCGACCUGAAAAACCCUCAAAAUUUGCUAUGCGCGACUCUGCUCCCUGAAGUCGUGUCCUCUUUUUGGGGAUUCAGAAUAUGGUCACCCUAGAUUUAUUUGCAGCACAUUUUUGCUGUUGCAUUUGUUUUGGACUUUUGCACCUGUUUGUGAAUUUGUAUCGUCUUCCUCAGCCUGUCAGCUAGCACAAAUAAAAGGGUUUAGAUGGUGAUUUCUCUCAGAAGGUUAGUCUAAGAGUAGUUUUGGUACUAAGUAUGCGGAUGAUUUCAGAGAUUUGCACAACACCCUGUAAGCGCUCAAUCACAUUUGAAACCUGUCAAAUUAUUUCCUUUUUAAAAUCUCAUGCCAAAAUCUCCUCCCUGUGCGUGUUUAUCUGUCUCUGCCAAACAGAGAUUCCCAAAAUGAUGAUUAAGUUUCCAUGGUUACAUACCAUCGUCUACGCAUGAAACAUGUCUCCACUGAAUCUAAUCAGUCACUGGAGUCAGUUUUCCUUUCAGAGGAAACGUUUCAUUCCUCAUUCACACUCCCCUACAUCUACAUUUAAUCCCAUUUUCUCUCCACCCUAUUCAUUCUCAUUAACCUUUCCACACACACUCACUCCUCCUUCCACCACUCAUCAUUGCUCCCAUACAGUAUAAAAUAAAUAAAUGUCCUCUCCUGUACAGCAGCCAGAUAAGAAGUCCUCCCCAGAGUUUUGGCAAGCACCAGGAGCAGAGUUUAAGAGCCUGUAAAUGUCCGAGGCAGGAAUGUGAGGCUGCCUUGUAUGGUCAAGAGAAUUGACUGCUGGAUCUUUUUUUAUACUCAUUUAAGUCUUUCUUUUUUUCUUAGAGGAUCUAGGCCGGCUUUGAUAGUCUCGAACAGAAAGAGGAUGAAGCAGGGAGGAGGAGGAGUAGGUGAAGAUAAAGAGGGUUCCCCACUCUCACAAAUGAGAUGUGGAAGUAUAUCCGCCUUCAUUUUUAUGACAUGAAUACUGUGAUUCAGUUCUCAAGUCUCAAAGAUCAAUCCAAGGACAUGUUUUUUGGUCCUAUCUGGAGUCAGGUCAAAGUGGCAGUCGGUAAUCCAGGCGCCUCUUUCCCCAGCGACAUUCUUCUAGCUCCUCUUGGGGGAUCCUGAAGUGUUCCCAGGCCUGAUGAGAUAUAGGAUUUAGUUCCUUGAGUGUAGCUUUGGUUCAUCCCUGGGAUCUGCACUCAGCUAGAUGUCCCCUGAAAACCUCAGAGGAGAGGCAUCCCAAUCAGAUGCCAUGACCGACUCAACUGGCUUGACAUUACUCAGAGGGACCUCCAGAUGUUCAAGUCCUUACCCUUUAUCCAAGACUGAGCCCAGCUGGUCGCUACUUAAAAGCUAGUGACCAAAGGUGGCGUAGAGUUUAAGCUUUGCACAUUUAUAAGCGAAAGCAAGCCGUGACUCAGCAUUUUUGCUGUCAUUGUGCUUCAUGAGACUUCUUCAGAAACCAAUGGUGACAUCAUGGCUUCAUCGUCGACUGUAAACCCCCCUAUACCACCAGCGAAGAUCACCAUAUUGGUAAUGCUGACUCAACCAGAACCAGGUCUAACGCCUUCUCACAAAUGACUACCUGCCUGUCAUUUCACUGUAAGAUGACGAGUUUCCCUCCUUAAACUGACGUGAUGAGAAGAUGGGAUUAUGGUCAACUGGAGACCUUCAAGUCCACAAAACAAAUGUAGACUGGAAAGAAGACUAUUAUGACCUCUACAGCAGUUCUAAGAGGAAAACACCAGGAGAGGAUCUGCCUUGUUCCUCCUGUAUUAGAAUACCCAAAUCGGGAUCAGGGUAUAGGACCUCUGUUAAAUUUAAGUGAGAGUCAAACACACUGUAACUCAGAGUUAGACAACCCCUCGAGAGAUGAAUGUUGCUGACCGCUUGCUUCUUCAGUUAUACCAACUUUAGUAACGACCACACAAUAGCAAUACACAGCAGUCUACAUCUCCACGCACAAACCUCAACCAAAAAGCCACUCUAUAGCCACAAAUAAUGCUCAGAACAGCACCUAACUUCAUCAACAGGACAAAUAGGGUCCUAGCCACAGUACUAGCCAUCAAAUAUCUUUUUAGCUUUGCCUGAUUUCUUUAGCAAAGAGACCAAACACAACUCACCCACUCUCUUCCAGCAGCCGCUUGUUUGUGGGGGUAGCCCUGACGAGUUGAUCACUGAGUGCAGCGGAGUUUCGCAGCUCAAGAAAGAACAUUUCCAUGAAGUAAUAAUCAUCAUAAUAAUUAUUUUGCACUGCAGACUUGGUAGUUCUUCUGCCUUAGCGUCUCAGUCUGAUUGCAUUUCCAUGAAGUAAUGAUCACUCGGUGAUCGACUCGUCAGGGCUCCCCCACAGACAAGCGGCUGUUCUGAGACUUAUUUGUGGCUUUUUGGUUGAGGUUUGUGUGAGACGUAGGCUACUGUUUAUUGCUAUUGUGUGUUCGUGGCUGAAGUUGGUAUAACUAGAGAAGCAAGCGGUUGGCAACAUUCAUCUCUCGAGGGGUUGUCUAACUCUGUGUUACAGUGUGUUUGACCAUAACUUAAUUUUACACCGGAAUAUCCCUUUUAAAGCUGCUAUGUUGGUUAAGUUACAGGUGAAACUUGUUGGCUACAGAAAUAACACUGAAGUGAAACACAAAAGCAGAAAAACAAAUGGGUGACAGUCUCUGGUUUAGACUCAGAUAAACAGAUUCAAUCAGAAUAAUGUUAGAUACAGACUUCAGUUACAGAAACACCUGCACAGACUUUGACUCUUUCUCGUCUGUUUUCUGAAGCAAAGUCUCCACAUGCUUCUCAGACCCUCCCACAGAUCAGCGAGUAGCUGCUUCUGGUUGGAGGCCAAAGCCUUCAAACCCGGGGUAUGUGCAGUAUGUGUGUGCAGCUCUCUGGGUGGUUAGGAGGGUGUGAUGUUUACAGAUCUGUCCAGGAUCAGCGCUCUCUGACUGUCCUCCCUCUCUGCUUUCACUCCUUUCGUCUCUGUUUCCCCCCUGCAGCACAUAUUCACUCACACUUUAUAGCAAGUACAUCUCCAGACUACAUUUUGAGAGUGUGCUUAAACUGUUACCAUGGAAACCGUCAAUCACAGUUGAACGAAAUAAACACAAACAGGCAACGUGAAGCAUCUAUGACACUGUUAUAACUCAUAAAUACUCAGAAAACACAGAGGAAAAGUGACGCAAAACAAACUUCCUCAUGCUUGUGGAAGUUCCACGAAGGUACAGCGAGAUUUAUUGUCUAACUUGGCCCUUCGUUCACCUUGUGACCCUUCCCCCUUGACCACACCCUUCCUCCUCACAUCAGUUGGUGCCAAAAUCCACACUUGUCCUGUUUGAGUGAGGUAACAUUUCCACGAAGCGCCCUGCGUGGUUACCUCUUGACGGAUUGUUGAAGGAAACUCACUCGGCUACACUCACAAAAAGGAAAGAAAACAAAGUAUUCCCUCAGUCGUCAGUGAUUGGGUUUGAGUUUGGAGGGAAAUGAAGACAGAGAUAAGGUAACACGGCGUGAAUCAAACUCAGGGAGCUCUUAUUACUCCAUACAUAAACACAGACUCCUGAUUAAUAACUGUGUGAGGACGCAUUUCUUUUACGAUAACAUGACGGUUAAAUGAAAGUAUCUCUGAAAUGAUCGGAUUGUUUUACUGUUUAAUCUGUAAGACCACAGUCUGGAUCUCACUUGCUGUUUUUGUUAUUUUUUGAGACUUUGGUUGUUAUCAUUACACACCUUUAGAGCUCAUCUAUACUUUCACUUCAGCAUCAGUAGAUGACACUGCCAAUACAUAUGGAGGCUGAAGUUGACUAUCACUCACAACCACCAGAGGGAUGACAGGUGGAGAGAUACAGUGAUGGUCAGGAACAGAGGGGCUUAAAUUGUACAUUCCAGUUGUACUCACAAGUCGGGAUUGUCGAGCUCUGAGUCAGAACUUUCAACGGAAACGACCCCCGAGGUCGGAUUUCCGACCCGGAAAGUCGGACAAUCCACACAACUAUUAAGUUGAUAUUUCAAGAUGGCUGUGCCGGUUGUAAACAGUAAGUAGAAGCUCCAGUAAUAAUCCCUUUAUCAACACAAACCUGCGCUUUUUGUGUUCCCUCUUCAGAAAUUGAUUAUAUUCGGACAAGGCAAGCACAAGAAUAAUUUUCGUAGAUGUAGCCAUCUUGUUUCCGCUUCCGUUUUUGGCCAUUGGCUACUUUUUUUUUCCGACUUUGGUAACCGAAACACUGAUAACUCGAGUGUGACGUCAUUCCCAGCUCCGACUUCCGAGGUAAAUGGAACGCACCAUAAAAUACACUGAUUUUGAGACAACAGUUAUCAAUGCAGCACAGACAUUUUUUAACAGCUGUCUCUGAAAUCAAAUGAGGCGUCAAAAAGAGAGUAAUUUCCAAAGAUGGCAAGCCUAAUAAGACAGUUUUAAAAAUACAAUGACAUUGGACAUCUCAUAGUGAUCAUCCAAAGAGACCAACAGGAAGUUUGUGAAAUUGAAAAAAUGCCUGUUCCCAAAUAUGGUCCUAAUUCAAAAUAUUAACAGUCGAUGUAAGGAUAUGUUUUAGAAGCUUUGAAUAAAAUCAAAUGAACAGGGAUGACAAACAAGAAUAUUAAGAUGUUAUUCUUAUAAUUUUAAAGAGACAAAUCAGACAUCAUAAAUCCACACGGGUGACAUUUGACAUAAUGCACUACUCCUGCUCCAUGCUUUGCAUGCCUCUCAUGUUUACACUGAGUCUUACAUUUCCAUGUGAUGAGCUCUGGCUGUCUGCACAGAGAUCUGGACCAACCUGCUCUGCAUCAUCUGUCAGUGCUGUAAUCCCAAACAGCAGCUUCCUCCUGAAUAGCUCUCAUACUCUCCAUGUGAGGGGAGGCUGUAAGUGCUCUCUAGUGCAUGAUGUAAAGCUGACUUUGACCUUUGACUUCUCAGUAAAGAGGCAGCACAAAUCAAGAGGGGAUAUUUUUCUGUUUGAAUAUUUCAAAAUGACGUUAGAGUGAGCUCGGGCUGAACCUGUGAGGAGAUAAGGGGUUAAUCCCGGAGGUUGUGCUCAGGUUUCAGCAGCUUUGAUCUCUCUUGACAUCGACUUUUGCAGCAGUUAUUUUUCUGAUACAGGUGAGACGCAUCAAAAGGUUUCUGUUGGCACCCACUUGUAUCCUUCCUCACGUUCUUUGUGAGUUAGGUAACCGUCAGGACACAUUCAGGCUUGAUGGGCAGAACUGAGCUUGUCUAUCCUUUUUGGUUUUGUCUGCUGCAUAACUUCCUCAAGGCAUCGAGAGUACAGCACAGAAAACAGCUUCAACUGCUCAUUUAGUAAGAAUGCAAACAAGGGAGACAGACCAUACUUAGACUUGAUGAUGUUUUAGCUUCUCUAACAAAUCCUAAAGCACAAAAUAUGAACAGGUAAAACUUCCACAGAUAAUAUUGUUACUUUACUGGCAUUAUUUUCCUUUCAAAGAGCAGCAUUUCCUCAUUUCUAAGGGCCUGUUUCCAUUACCUGCUUUUUUGUGCUGGCAGCCAAGAGCUCUUCUCACAUACUGUACUGUUGCUAAGUUAGACUAGUUUUCCCACACUACUUCUGUUACCCCGUCAUCUCUAUUCCAAAGUUGUUUUCUUUUUUGCUUCAUAUUUGUUUAAAUUUAACAGCAAAGUAUAUAAAUAGAUAAUUGUACUGCAGCUCUAUAUUUGGAAUUAUCUAAUACCCUCAAAAACACUUGGAUUGGUUUCUCCUCUGCAGCUCAUGUUAACAGAUUUAAUAGCAAAAGUCCCACCCUUUCUUAAUUUUGGUAAGUCGGAGGUAAAGUAGUAAUAUUGACAAGUUAAAUGUUCUGAAAAGUUGAAUUAUGUUGAGGUACAGUGGGGAAAAAGCAGCUGAUGUCAGGAAACACUGAACUGAUUGGUUUGUACAGUAAACGGGUGCUGUUAGUGGACACAGGCCCUAACUCAUAGACUACAGCAGCUUUAUUAGUGGCUCAGCACUUCAAUAGAUGAAGCUGUAGGUCUAUGGUUCCAUUUCUGUGUACUGUCCUCCAGCUACAUGUUGUUGUUACGUGACCUUGAGGAAAUUUUAUGUAAAGUCUUCACAGAUCUAUGGAUGUUUCAAAGUACCAAAAGACCAGAGUUUGAAGAUCUAUGUGAAAGUUAUCCAUUUUUAUGUUCUGGUUUGCUUUUGUGGGUCAUAAAGUACAAUCAUUUAAAAUUUCAGUUUGUUUCUUGGCCAACUAAAAACUCCUGAGAGGAGCUUUAAGUGCAUGUGCUGCUAUUAAAAUAUACCAAAGCCAUUUACCUCCCCGUUUUCUGUUCUGACAUCUAAAUAUGAACCGACUAUGUAGGACUGGGCGAUAUGGCCUCAAAUCAAUAUCUCGAUAUAUUGAUCAGUUCACCUCGAUAACGAUAAAUAGAAAAUAACUACUCCACAAGCUGCUCACCCUCUCCCACAUUAACUUCGUCUACUUCAGCCACUACAACUUUUGAACCGUCCUCCAUCUCCUCACCUGUCUUUCACUCUUUGUUAUGGACUGGAUGAGGUGGAGUCACGUCUCUGAUGUAGGACAGUGUCUUAAAGGGACAUGAAACCAUAGCCUACUUACACACAUCCAAAACCAACUUUUAUUUAUUUUUUUGACACUGAAUUUACCGACAUGGGCAAAAUGACGUUGGUUAUUGACGUAAAUUUCAGUAUCAGUAAAUUUUUGGUUUAUCGCCCAGCCCUAUGACUAUGACUGUUUCACAAUUCUUACCAUGUUUUUAUGAUUAUUUCAUAUCUACAACCUUUAAAAUCUGAGGCUUUGCUUGGCAGUCUUUAUGUAGAAAGCAUAACUGAACCUGUAUUAGUGUAUUAAAUGGUCAUUUAUUGAAGUCCUACCAGAUUGUACAGAUUUUCUUAAUCUUAAAAACCCUGCACUUAAAAAAAGGUGUAACUACAAGGGUAUCUGGAUCAUCAAUCAAGAAUUCUCUGUUACUACUCUUGGCCUGUUUUUAGCACAUGACAUAUUUGAGCAGUUGAUUAUGAUAACUUGAAAAGUUUAAAGUGAAACUUCACCAUGUAAUCUCAACAUGAAACUUUAAAUAAAGCAAUGUAAACAGUCAGUAAACCUUUAAAUAAGUCCCCCAGAAUAAACAGUGUGAAAUUUACAGCACUUAAGUUUUCUCGUAUGGACAAAAAUAUAAAGAGUAUAAAUAUUGUGAAUAACUAAGCUCUGUGGUUGUGCUCUAAUGAAGCUUAAAGGGUUAAUAGAUGAUUUAAUGUGAUUUAAUGGCCAUUCCUGACCACUGCCUGUGUUUUCACUUUCACGUGUGAUUAGGAUAAUUGGAUUCAAAUGGAAAUUUGUUUCAAAAGGUAAAGGUUUUGGUCGAAACUGCACAUGAAAUAAAAACAAAUAUCUGACCUACACAAAUAAGACCCCGGCUGUUAAAGCGAAACUUUCCAUAAUGAUGUGUUUGCGCUCCUUUUCACUAUUUAAGUUCUUGAUUGCAAAAGCAUUUGCAAAAGUUUCCUCUUUCUAAAUAGAUCUCACUCAUCUUGACAAAUUGCUUCACAUGUUGAUCUGGAGCCCAGAUCUGCAGAAAGUGUGACCUCAGCCGGCUCCUGCGCUGACUGGGUCAUGUGUUUCCCUACCAGCCAUCCAGACAGACAGACAGUCAGACGGCGCUGUGAGGCCUGUUACAACACCCGGGCGUCCCUGAAAACAGGCAAACAGGCGACUAUUGAGCCAACCUGCACACUUUCCACACUGUCACGGACUGAUUCAUGUCAAAGUGGGGCUCUCGCUCCAUGAUUGGACUCAAUUAAAGCCACUGAGGCGUGAAUGUAAAGGCCCAGGAGUAUGGAAACCCCAUGAUACACGCACACACAUGCAUGCACACACACAGACAAACGUCAUACUUGUUGGUUUUCACUUCUUGGAGUGUGUUUGGUGAAUUGUGGCUGUACUUUGGCUCAGUCAUAUACAACACAUGCAUUAAUCUGGCAACUUUUAAUGAGUAAAUAACUUUAAUGUUUGUGUAAAUUUAGUGUGAUAAAUAAAGCAUUCAGAAACCUUCUUUAAAGAUGUUUCUCAUCCGUGCAAAUCUGCAGGAAUUUUACACCCACGUCGUGACACUCGGUUGCCCCCUUCUACCUUCUGCCGUCUCCCGGUGGUACGUCCUCUUUCAGGGAUGGUCUGUGCAGAUUAGGCACGUACAAACAUAUCACUAUCAGUAGGUGGACAGCUGUGGCGGUGAUGUGGUGCAGCUGUUGUUUAAAAGUGUGGAUGAAUGAGCGUCUUGUGCGUCAUGCAUGGAUUUUAGCUCAUAUUUCUUGAACUCUUUAUCUGAAUCUUUAACGAAAAUUGACAGUCUGCCAAUCAAAACUGUCACAAGAUGAGCUCUAAGUGGGCCAGCAAGCUCUAAGACAUACCUCUAAAUUAAACCCCUUGUACACUCGGACUUUUCCUCUUCUUCUCCAUAUUACAGGAUCCUUAUAGCAGCUAAAAUCCAUCAGCUAUGGGUAGGGCUGGGCGAUAUGGGAAAAAAUGAUAUAUAUUUUUUUCAUAUCAGUCAAUAUCGAUAAAUAUCAUGAUAUAAAAAAAUGAAAUCGAACAGUGCUUAUUGGUAGCAUGUUCGCAAUACAAUAAGCUACUGCAUCUGUGAGGUCUUUGUGUCUCUUUGAUAUUUUGUCGUAUGGUGUUGCGCUAGAGAAAGCGGGCUGAAUUGUCGGUUUUUGUCAGAACAUUACAGAACAUUAUCGCACUUCUGAAUCUCCUAACCCUAACCCGACAGACGAUGACGUUUCACAGCCAUAAGGAAUAACCAAUCGGAGCCCAGCACUUCUAGCCAAUCAGAGGCAAAGGAGGAAGGGACCUUCCCCUACCAUCAAAAAAAAAAAAGUUUGCGACCCGGAGCAACUCCUCUUUUCAUCGGCUCUUCAUAUAGUCUACCAGAACAUAGUCGAAUGACGGCUAUCAUGUUUUAUUUCGAUAAAGACGUAAAUUAAUUUUUGAUAUAUAUCAUUAUAGUUUUAUCGCCCAGCCCUACAUAUGGUCCACUCUAUGAUCCUCUUGUCGUUUGACAGUCAUUAAAAGUCGCUUACUUUUCUGUUUUUUGCUGGAGAAUAACAUCAAAUUAAUGCUGAGUGAAUCUUAUUUUAAAAUGGUUAACAUCAAACUGACUCUAAAGUGGAAAAAUUCAUAUCAAACUGCUUGUCCGUCCUCAUACGAGGGUCCCUCUUCUGUGUUUUUUUUUCCCACGGUGAUGGUUAGUUAUUAGCUCUACUGUAAAGCCCCUGCAGUUUCUCUUCCAGUGAGACACAUGAACAGGACUCUCACUGUUUCUGUGUGGCUUUUGGGAGAAUACCUCGGCCCCUCUCCCUGUAAUAAAUCCUAUCUGCUCACAAUGCGCGGCUCCAUGGAGCUGUGGGUGGAAUUAAGGCUGGUCGCGGUCACAGAGGCCGUGCAUGCUUGUGAGAGUCAACGCUUUGAAUCUGUGUUCGUGUGUGUUGUGAAUAGUUCGUAACCGUGUCAUUGUUCCUGUUUAUGUAUCCUGACUGUGUGUGUAUGAACCUGUGUGUGUAAAAGCUCUACCAAUUGUAUAGUUGUGUGUUUGUGCCACACCCAUUCCUGAAACCUUUCCAGAUAAACCCAGCGGCCUGAGUCUGUGAGAGGUGUCUCCCCUGAUAUUAUCUCCCCUCCUUUGUGCCAUCUGUUUAGACUUCCACCAAUUCGAGGCAUGCUCUGCAUUCCACCUCAUGAAGUUCAUGUCAGGUGUGUUUGCUCAUCUAACAUGGAAAGUUUACUUUGAGAGUCAGCGCUGCGGCCCCCGACUCAUUAACCUACAGAGGAGUCCGAACAUGUAUAUAAUCCUUUAAAACUGAGUUAAGACAAAUGACACGGAUCAGCUCCAGAACAUUUACUAACAAAAUAAGAUUUUUCUCCUCAAUUUUCAUCUUAUCUUGAUUUGGCCAGGUCCUGUUUCAUUACUUUACUACGACUAAAACUACAACUGAGUUUUCAAGUUGUACAGUGCACAAUUAAGGCAAGCUGUUAAUUAACAAAAGUAAGAUGAAGACGCAGAGAAGUGUGACGGCUAAAGCUACAGUAAGCAGUUUUUAUUUUGUGUUGGUUUGGGCGCCCCCCUGUGGAAACAAAGCAUCAAUGGAUAAAUCAUAUUUUCUAACAACGACAAAACUCAUCCACAGUCAAUUGUACAAAAGAGGAUUAGGGCCACAAGAAGAGAAAAAAAUAAUUACAGGAGGGAGAUUUUUUUAAUUUCCAUAUUGAGAUUAAAGUUGAAAUAAAAAAAUUUGGAGAAUAAAUAAUUUGGAGAUAAAUAAAAUCAAAAUUACUUAAAUAAAGUCCAAAUUUUGAGAUUAUAAAAGUCUUUCUCAUAAGGUCUUAUAUUUAAACAUGUUGUUUAAGAUGACAGUUGUUGAAAUGAGAGCCAUGGAGCAUUUCAUGAAAAUGUACUGUGAUAUCGGUUUCUCAAACAAGGAGAUACUUUAUCUUUUGGCACAUCAGCACCACAUUAUCAUAAGUAUCAUAAUUAUUUCAUUACAACUUUAUUCUUGUAAAUUAACAACUUUAUUCUCGAAGUCUUAAUUUAUUUUUUUAACUUAAUCUCACUCAAACACUGUCUUAACAGUUGUGCACAGAUAUGACUUGUUCACCUAAACACGAAUAAAAUCCUUCCCGCUAGAAAAUAACUUCUUAAAUUAAUAGGAAGAUGCAAUUAGAUGCAAUUUCUUGUUGGUCAGCACGAAUGAGGUGGUGCAAAUGAAGGAAAUUAUAUGCACAAAUGACAUGAAUUUGCAACAUGUUCAAUGUUUCAUUUGUGAGUGUUGAAAAGUUUGAACCAUAGACUGUAUAUACUGUGGACAACUUGGCUCCGCCUUCCACCCUUACCCCAUCUCCUAAGAGCUAGCGGUAAUCGCUUUGCUUCUUCUAUAAAGGCUGACAAAAAUGUUUUAGCAAUUAAGAUGAUAAAAUUUACUUCUAGAUGACAUAAAAAGGUAAACAUGGCCAUUUAGUCUGUUAUAAUAGUUUGACAUGACUAAUAUCGUCAUCAGGGGUUAGAUGAAUCAGCCGGAGGCUCCAUGCCAGCACACUGGAAAAACACUGUUUUCAACAUUUCACAAAAACAACCCCAGUGGAUAGAAAAUCCUGAACUCUGUGUUUAAUUCAGUCUAUUCCACGCUGUGACAUGUGUGAAUAAUCUGAUUUUUUUUUUUUUUUGGCUCUUUGGUAUGAACAAAGUGAACCACAUUACAUGUGCCCAAACUUUCUCUGCCAGCCCUUUUUCCACAGCAUGGUCGGUUGUGGUAUGACUUCCUCUAAGCUGGUUUUCCAACCACUAUUUAAUGCCAGAAGACGGGGAAGUCCACUCCCUUUUCACUGUAAGGGAACUAAAGCUACAUUUGCACAUGUUUCAGGGGGGAAAUUUAGCUAAUUUGGGAACACUGCAGAAAAGAAAGUGGACCUCAAGAACUCACAAAGCAACCUCCUUAAAAAAAAAAGCUUCUAAUAGUUCAGAUUUAUUCCAAAUUUUUGAAAUGAUGACUGAUUGUUUGGACAAAAAGCAAAUUUUUAACUCAUAGUAGAAGAAAGGCGAUUCUUUAACUUUCCAGUCCUUGACAUUUAUGCAUAAAAGCAAAGCAGAGCCAGCAAUGGAAACCUCCAAAUUGACUCCAGACUUGGGAAUCGUCUAGCAGUGGAGGAACGUUUGGAGAAAGAGCAGGUCAGUCAGGGACAACAGGCCUCACUUUGAUCAUGGAGGAGAAGAUUAACCCCAUAAGUGAAUUAAUUAGAAACCAGGACUGAUCUGGGCCGGGUGCCAGCCUCCCUACUGACAAGAGAAAGAGAGAGAGAGACGACAAAGACCACAUUGGUUCGCCCACAUCUAACGCAGGUCUUGUGAGAUGAUCAAAACAGAUAAAUUGAUCACUUUGGGUGGCUUAUCAUGGCCCCUUUGGACACACCCCUCAGUUUUGGGACUUGGUUGGAGUACGCAUUAUGAAACCAAGAUAUGAUCUGCCGCAGAUCCUAUCUUCUCUGGAUUUUACUUGAGGGGAAAUCCUGAAAACAAGAAAAAGAUGAGUCUGACUCUAACUGAAUGAACCACAUAACCUUGCAGUGAAGGAGCAAGAAAACCUGCAGGACUUCAACCAUGUUGUAAGGACACACAUUAGUCGACGAUGACUGUUUUCCUGGCUUUCCAUGACACAGCUCCCCCUGUCAGACACACAGAGUCGUUGACGCCCUCUGGGAUCAGUCCCCUCAGCGUGUCUUGAUAUUUCCCCCCUUGAUUAACUAAUUUAAGAGAAUCCACCGGGUUAGUCCUUUCCAAGCUUUUCUACUGUAUCUCCACCUCUUUUCUUCUCCAGCGGGGACAAUAGACGGAAGCAGCCAGCUGAGGCCUAUUAGGGUAACAGGAGAACGCUCUCUGGGGUAUCGUUUUCACAUGCAGGGCUCCAAAACAUGCCGUCAUAUCCUUACUGCUACCAGACGGCGUACAAUGCUCUGACACAGGGCGCUGUGAGCCAAAGGAAAAGGGCGUGUGUCGGCACGACCGGGCGCACGGACAGAUUUACACACAUCAACUGAAGCCCCAUUAGCAAGUCAACGUUCCACUAACAGUCUGAGGAAAUCCCUGCUCCUAACCCCUACGUGUCCAGCUUCAGAAAAUCUGUUACAACACGGCUCGCUCGCCCAUCUGGACUGCACCACGUGGCUGCAGGGGUGUCCUCAGACAUGCAGGGGAUGCUGACGUUCCCGUUUGUCAAACAGCGUGCCUCUGCCGGAUUUUUCUUUCCACGGGUUUUCCCUUCUUACAUCAUCUGCUGUCACUCAUCUGAAGUCUAUUGUGUGGACGUGUGUGAGGCCUUCUGAAUGAGUGUCUUUGUGCGCAUCUGGGUGAGAGUGUGUGUGUGAAUGUUAGCGUGUGUGUGUGUUUGCGGUGAGAGGCUUUGGAAGGAAUGUCUCGGGAUGAUAGGGUUUCCCUGUCAGGCUUUUGACAAACUCCCUACAUCCUACGGAAUUCCCUCACAUGUGGCGGACGACAACGCCAGUCUUUCCUGACCCGUGCCUUUUUCCUGUUGAAGUCCUGAUAUACAGGUCCUGCAUUCUUUCCACCUGGUCGGACUGUGAGCUUGACCAAAAUUUAAGAAAAUCCUCAUUUAGUGUGUUGUCUGAAAAGUCUGGACGAUAUUAAUCUUUGAAUCCGCAGUUGAUGGAAAAUGUUUGACUCUUUCUUAAAGCUGCAGUGUGCAGUUUUUAGCCGCGUUUGGCAGAAUGGACCAGCCAGAACUCGAAUAUUCAUGAGUAUAUUUAAGUUGGUGCAUAACCACCUGAAUAUGCAAAAACAUUUUGUCAACUUAGAACAAACCUUUAUAGCUACAUAAGGAGCAAGUCCUCUUCUACAUCUACAGUAGCCCAGAGUGGACAAAUCAGACAAAAUUUAUGACAAAAUUUGGCCUUGUCAUGUACACAGAAGCUUUAUGUCCUUGAAGGCCACUGUUGCUUCAUCAAUAGGACGUGAGCAAGGCAACAAUUCAAGAUAUCCUCAUUCCUACACACUCUACUUUUUAGAUAAUUAAAUUUUUAGAGCUUUAUUCCACUUUGUUGUUGCAAUGACAGAGCUGUCUGUCUGUUUCAGUUUUGCAGAGGUCAGAUGUGGGAAUUUUUUGUCUAUUUUGACGGUCACUUCGCCAAAAAAGAACGUUUCAAUCUUCCAGACUGUCUUUUCUAAAAUCGAUAAGAUUAAAACACCACUUUUACAUAAGGAUGUCCCAAUUCUGACAUUGACAUCAGAUAUUGGUCCAAUAUCAUCCCAAAAACAAAUACCAGAUUAUAUCGGUCUAGAUCUAAAAUCUCCGAUAUCAGCACUCCGAUACAAGCAGUCCAUUCCAGACUCCGCUCCAGCACCUGGAUCCAGCAUGCAGAGCUUACGUGAUCACAACAACAGGGUGUAAUAAGGUACUAAAAGAUAGAUGUCAUGCACAAGUUUGUGCCAAUAUCGGAUCAAUAUCGGUAUCAGCCAGUACUGAAGGCUGCAAUAUUGGUAUUGUAUCGGAAGUCAAAAAGUUGUAUCCGGACACUCCUACUACAGGUUAUUGUGAUAAUUAUGGAAAAGUUGAAAAUGAAGAAACACAAUUAGUCAAAUUGAGGAAAGGCGAGAUGAGGUCGGUGCAACACAUCACUUCAUCAACUUAAUUACAUGUCAUCCAAUUCUAAUGGUGUUCAGAGUUAUAUGGUUUAUCCACAUCACACAGAAACUUCACUGAAGAAGACACUGGCUUGUGAGAAAAGUUUUUUUAAUGCUUCUAUUUUGAUAUUUUUAUUUCUUGUUUUCAGAUUUCCAUGCUUUUAUUUUGAUGUUUACUUUUUCCAGCAGCUCGUAAGUUAUGAAACUGGAUGAAAACAGUAAAAAACACAGUCACAAAGACACUAAAUCUCUAAUAUUUUUUUAGAUUCACAAUAAAAUCUUUAAAUGUCAGCUUUUAAAAGUGUUAAAUCCUCUCUUACAGAGCUGCUAAGGCUACCUCCCUACCAGCUGCUGCUUCUUCUUUGUCUUGCCUUUGCUUUGUGACAUAUGUCAACUAGCACUCACAGAGAUAUCAAUAUUUCUUUUCUUUUUUUUUAAGAUUGUUUUCAUGCAUCAUCAGAGAUAUCAUUAUUUCAUUUUUGUAAAAGAUUGUUGAGUUAUUUUUAUCUUUAUCUAAAUAAAUUAAAGCUUUGAAUAUGUUUUCUGGAGUACAACCUUUAUGUCAAAUCAGGAUUUGCACGUCUUAAGAUUUCCUGACAAGGACACAAAAAGUCUAUUUUUUAACUCUGGCUCGUCUCCAAACCGCUGCUUUCAUACUGGUCUUUCGUUGGUCUACAACUGUCACAUCAUUUUUCCGACAAACCUCGUCUCUUUGUAAUAAACCGCUUUUAAAAAUACAGUUUAGGCCAGUUUAAACCAGGCGUAUAAAACCGGGCUUGUCAUUUUCUCUCUCUCUGUGGAACACUUUUUUCCUUCUGAUGUCUUAUUUUGGAACAGAACUUUUCCCGUCUGGCGUGAGUCGGCCAUGUUGUCCCUGGGCCCCGUACAGUAUCCAAACCCACAGAACCAGCAGAGAGGGAGGUAGGAGGGAGGGAAAGAGUUCCAUACUUAUGUAACCUGUUGUCAAGGCAACCUGGUUUUGUCAUAGCAACUUACCGCCAACAGUUACAACCAGAGGAAAAAGGAGGAAACUCUCGUGUUGACAGACGGGAUCCUUAGCUGAGUACUCAUGGCAGAGGAGGUUCGUCAUCUGCUGAGUAUUCUGACUGCUGCUUUGUGGUUGAACAGUGAUUGUAUAAAUAUGUGAGUGGGAGAGUGCUUAGGGGUGUGGGCAUAGCUUGAUGUCUUAUUUUUUUAUUGAAUGAAAAAGCUUUUGCCUUUUGUUUUUGGAGUAAAUGUUUGUCCGUCCACGUGCAAACCGACAGUAUCAGUCGCUUGUGCCUUUAUGUGUGUGAGAGGUUAUAAAAACUGAGGUUGGAUUAAGUCUGGCCUUGUGGUUCCAUGGCGUGCUGAGUGAGGAAACCCAGUUGGCAUCGGGGAGGCAAGAAAUGCCAAAGAUGGCCGCUGCUGGAUGCCUGGUUUCCAGGCACUUCCAGUAAUCUGCAGCCUCCCCAGCUCAGACGGAGUCACAAUAUUUCAAUCCUCGCCGCCAGAACUCGAUUGGAUCAUUCAAUCCAAAAAAACACAGUAUUUCUCUUUUUCCUCAUGCAUGAAUCCAAAGUUAUUUAAAAUCAAGGCCAAGAUGUAAGCAAACUUGCAGACUUUGAUGCCUUUUCUUGAGAAAAAUGAUAAUAAAAACAUGCAAUUAGGAUUUGUCAAACAAUACAAUCUGAAAGUAUACGGUAAAGUCUCUGUUUCGUAUGGUUCCUAAGGUUUCUCUCUGUUUUGAGGGAAGUUGGUGUGUGCUUAACGCUGAGGAAACACAUACUGUACCGGCCAGAUAUGCAAAAAGGAAGAAGGGAACUCUGUUUUUCUAAGGCAAGACUGAGUCACCAUGAAUGAAGGAACACCAGGGAGGAAAAAUGCAACCCUUACCUCACUGAUGAGGACUAAACAGAGAGCUAGGGGCACAGAAAGACCAAGAAGAGAGACUUUACAGACGCUAGAAACUGAUACAAAAGGAUCCGCGUCAAGGACAGAUGAGGUAAAGGGCAGCAAAAAAGAAUAAAAAGGAAAAAAAGGACCUUUCAGACAAUCAUCCAGUGAUGUCAUUGUAACCGUAGUUUACUCACUUCUAGUUCUGCAUUCUGGCAGUCACCAUCUUGGUUUUCUGGCGCCACAUCCAGCCUUAUUUGUAGGUAGUGACUGGAACAAGUAAAUCAAAUGCAUGCAGCUCAAGGUAGAGGGAAAGUUUUCACGAUGGCGAUAAACUUUAUAGGGGAUAGAUGGGGCGAUGAAAGGAUGCAGAGGAAAAAUCUACAAAUCACAAAAAUAUAGUUGAGUCCUGUUUUUUAUUCACUAUCCCCCAUAAACACGUGGUUUAUGGAAGAAUACACUGGCCAACAAACCAAGUAGAGUAUAAACCUGUAGAGCUUGUGUAUGUUAACGUUGCUUCUCACCAGGUUGUAAAAAAUGUUCCAUGGCACUUCUACCUCCAUCAAGAGUGACUUUUCAAGUGAUUUGUUCAUCUCAUUUAGUCUGUCAUUAUAGACAAAAUAAGAAAAAAAAAUCAAUAGAUAUCAACCAGAAGCUCGACUUUACCUAAACAAACAAGCAUGAUUGUCCCUCUGUCGUUGGCAAAUUUGAAAGCAGAAGUCUGAGCCCUUCUCGAUUUCAACCAAGUGGCGUUGAAGAAGUGUCAUUGACAAGCACAGGGAUAUCCAAAAACGUGGGUUAUUUUCAACUGUGAGUGCCGUGAACAAAGAGACACAAAACAGGCAAAAAUGAGGGUGACUUCACACUUUGGACGCUAAACAAUGACAAUGCUGGAUGACACUGAAAAAUGGCUUUGAUUUGCUGACCCAAAUACCUGCUAAUAAUGCUGUUCUCCAGUUACCUCAAAAGUCAGAUGUCAGAGCUGGGAAUGACGUUGCACCCGAGUUGACGGCGUUCCAGUAAACAAGUCGGAAAACCAAGAUGUUAGCUGUUGUGAACAAUUGUCAGCCAUCGUUAGCCGUUGUCAGUUGUUGUUAGUUGUUGUUGUUAGCUAUGCCAAUUGUAAACAACGCAUAACACAGUAUUUCACUCUUACAAACACCAAAGCACUGUGUUCACAGUUGUUGUUAGUGCACUGCGCUGCCAUCUUGGAUAAUGAGGUUGUCGUCAAGUCAGGGUUGGUGAGGAUCGUCCGACUUUCCGAGUCGGAAGUCCGACCUCUGGGAGGUGUUCCAGAUGAACUGCUGACUCGAAGAUUAGAAAUCCUGACUUCUGAGUACGACUGGAACGCAGCAUAAGUGGUCUGUCUUUGUUGUAUCACUACACUGGCAUCCAUGUUUUUCAUCCAGCAUUUAAAGGAGCUUAAAGCUAAAAACUGCAAUUCCUCGAGUGCCCACUAGAGGCUAGCUGCAAAAGAACCAAAACCCACAUACACACUUAUUUAAAAAGGAAAAAAAAAAAAGCAUAAAUAAACAUGCAAAAAGCCUGGUUUAAAAAGUGCUUUUCUUUUUCAUAAAUCAAGUCAGCACCAAGUGGCCAAAAGUGGAACUGCAGUUUGUGAGACUAACAUACUGGUUUCAUUUUUUACCCAUGCAGCUGCUGGUUGGUUUUAGACCAUAAUGUGUGCAGAUAGUUGGUACCAGUAAUUAUUUGAGUCAUUUGAGGAGCAGAAAUAAGACAAAAAAGGACAAGCAAAGGAACGAUUCAAGGUAAAGGUAGAAAAAGAAAGAAUCACAGAGAGAAGUCUAUAUUUUCCCACACUGUGUCCUGAUAACAAAGGCAUCCAGAGAGUCCACCAGAUUACAAAAGCAGGCAGUGUGUACCUUUCCUUCACUCUCUGAAUGUGUACGAGUGAUUGUGUGUGUUUGUGUGUGUUUGUGUGUGUUUUAUUAUUGUAUCCAAGGCAAAGAAGCCGUCUCUAAGUUUCCAUCCUCCUCCUCCUCCUUUUCCUCCUCCUUCUUUGGAGCGGCAAUUUCCUGAACCCAGGCCAGGAAACUCUGCGUCGUUCUGCUGGGCUGAGAGGCACAGAGGAUUGUGGGAAGGAGGGAGGGGGAGAGAUGGGUGAGGGUUUUAUACAGUAGGCACUUCAAUAGUGAUAGAGCUAAAUGCUUACAGAGCAUGUAAAGAGAUGUUUAAAAUAAAAAGGGUGGAGGUGGAGAAACAGGCAUGAGUGAAAGAUGAGGGUGAUGAGAGGAAGAGCAGAGGUGACAGGGUUAAAGAGCAGAGUAAUGAGGCUUAAAAAUACGCAAAAGCUAACAAACUGCAGAGAAAAUACAACAAAAAUCAAAAUUUACAGAUUAAAUAAAGCUUCACCUGGUCGAUUUAUCACCAAGGUAACAAAGUGUGAUCAAAGUCAGCCCCUUUUUGAACCAGGAAUGUCAAUUAUGCUGUAUAAACUCUGGCAUUUUAACAUGGAGUUUUGUACAGAAGCCCUAAAGGUAAAAUUACACAAACAUUUCACAAUGACAAAAUAUAUUUUAAUACAUUGGAAAAUAUAUAUAGAUAUAAUUCAAAUAAUUUUAGUCAACACAAAUAAAAAAAAUCAAACAAACACACAAAUAAAAAAUAUUUUCAUUUUGAUUUGUGUUUUUAGAAUAAUUUUGGCUUUUGGAAAAAUAUUCAUAAUUAUGAAAAAUGUAUUUGUUUUUUUUUUAUAUUUUUGUUUAAAAUGAAUUAUUUUCACAUUUCAUUAAAAAUGUUCAUAAUCCAAAAAAAAUAUGUAAUACUCAGCUAUAUCUCGUCAGUGAUCUUGACAUUUUUUUUUUUAGGUCUCAUAACAGGUUUGAUUUGUGUUUUUAGAAUAAUUUUGGCUCUUGUAAAAAUAUUUCAUAAUUUUGUGAAAAAUUCUUUGUCUUUUUUAUUUUUUUUUGUUUAACAUGAAUUAUUUUCACAUUUCAUUAAAAAUUUUCAUAAUCCAAAAAAAUAUGUUUCAAAUUUAUGGGAAAAAAAAAAACUUUCAAAACUCUCAGCUUGUUUAACUCGUUGGUGAUUUUGACACAUUUUUUUUUUCUUUUUUUUCUUUUAGAUCUCAUCACGGAUGUGGCCCAGGACCUGGACUUCCAAAAGUGAGUACCCUCAUGUUGAGCUCUUGCUGGCUAUGUGUGUGUUUGUACUGCUACAUACACUCCACAGAUACACUAAAAUGAAUCUUUUAACUGCCUGUCAAUGGCUCAAAGAAACACUUAUCACUUUCCCACCUCUCUGAAAGGCUGUCUAUAAAGAUGUCUACUAGCAUUACAGCUGUUGUUCCACAGCUUGACCUCUGACCCCGGUUUUUCCUACGGGGAUCAAUUAAAGAAUGUCGACCGGAGACCUGAGGGUCCGAGAUAACGGCUCUGAUUUCAUGUUCAGCUGCACAAAGAAAACAAAUCUUACACACUUCCUUCUUGUUAUUAAUUAGCCGUAGCCCGGCCACACUUGUGUUGCUUAUUCAAGAUCUCUCCCCCACUCCUCCCCCCUUUCCAUUUGCUCGUUAUCUGCCUCACACCACUUCCUGAGUGGUUGUUGAGGAAAGCUUGUCUCACUCUGGCACAAUGUUGACAUCUCUGGCACAACCUGAUGUGUGUGUGUGUGUUUGAGAGCGAGACAGACUGAAAGAGAAGAGGUGAGAUUCCUGAAGGGUGAAAUCAUGGAGGCUCAGCCUGUUUUUAACUGAGCUGUAGCUAAUUAACUUUAUUCUCUCUCUCUGCGUUGUGUUGCUGCUAACUCACGGCUGUUUCUGAACUGACGACUGGUGCUGGUUUAAAAAUGAUGAAUGCACAACGACCCGUGAGAAAUCUGUGACGAGUUAAUAUGUGUUUGGAGAGCAUGAUUUAAGAUUACAAACUGCAACCUCCAGAGAAGAAGAAUGGCCUGUUUCGGUGCAGAACUGUUUGGAUGUUUUGGUGAAAGGUCAUAAAGAUUUAGAAAGACCAUUUUUGGGGAAAAAAAUCUGAGCGUUUUGCGUCUUCGAUGCCAGCGUUUGCCUCACCCAGUGCAAAUUUUCCAGCAAAACAGAUUCCCAACUAAUGUGCCUUUGGUUGUUGCUGCAGGUGAACACUAUGGUGAUUGUUUUUAAAGAAUUAUGAACCACCUAAGCGCCUUGUUCCUCAACCAGACCUGCUUCAUCUUCUUCUACUCUGACCUGAUAUGCACUUGCAGAAUCACACAGUUACAGUUUCUCACGGUUGCCAAAACACCAGAUCCCACGCUCUUAUCCAAAUGCUCGUGUAGUUGAUCCAGACGCACUUUGCAGAUCUCUCUAUCCCUUUUUUCAAAACUCUACGAACACAUUUUAAAUGUAUUUUACACUGUGAUAAAUUUGUGAUGCUUAUUGGUAACUACAGAGUCAAAGAAAAAUAACAAGGUGUCACGGUUAAUACACGACUCAAGUCUGAAAACACUUUGGUUCAAAAGUGCCAAGAACUGAACGAGAUUCUGUCUCUGUGUUUACCGCCUUUGCAGAACGCUGUAUUUGUGAGUAAUCAGAUGACAGUGUGUGGGAGUGUUUGGGGUUUGAUUGUGAACUGUUCUUUUAUGCAGCCGUCAAAGUUUUAGUUCUUCGGUUCUUGCUUUUUGAAAAUGUAACUGCAGUUAUUAUUUCAUGUUUAUGAUUAACUUAACCUGCUCUAUCAAACUGCUCUAUCAGUUUGGUGUCAGGAGGCACCACUUCAUGUAAUCUCAAGAAUCUUAUUUUGGCAGAAAAACCAGCUGCCUUAAUGUUCUCUGCCAAAUGUCAUGUAGUCAUUACUGACUCUUUAGUUAUCCACCUUAAGAAGAUCGUCUUAUCAUUUAAAUUCAGCAGCUAGAAUCAGAACAUGUGCUGCUUGUGUUUGACACACUUAAGUAUCUUUGAAAAGGUUAAAACUGGUGUCACAAAUCAUAUUUAUGCAAAAACUUGGAGAUGAAGUGUAAUAUUACAAGUUGCAGACUGGCAAUAGGUCUUUAUUAGCAAAGCUGCACAUCAGAUCUUUGGAUCCUCAUGAAAAUAAAAGAGUAAAAACAACAAAAGACAGGUGGAGGUGGUUAUUCUCUGAGGUGGAAUGCCUUAAAUGUGGAAGAAAAUCAUCAAUUUCCACUAAAAAGCUCAGGUUGGACAGUCUUCUAAACCUUUCUUAAGUCUUUGGACGUGAACCAGAGAGUUUAUAUCCAUCUGCCCAGAAAAUGACAGAUAAUGUUUAUUCUCCCAGCCCUGCCCGAUCCCAGAGGAGCCCAGAUUUCUUUUUUUUUUCUUUUCUUUUUCUUUUUUUUUUUUUAAAUUUGACCUUUUGGGUUAAAUGUGAAAUCUAAUUCGAGACCAGCCCAGACCGAACAUCUAAAAAUAGCCGACACUUAAAAUAAACUCUCUCACUCUCCAUUUGAAGUAGGAUGUCAGAGUCCAUGUGCAGCACGUCUGCUGGAGUUAAUUUCUGCAUGACGAACUCAUGAAGAAUGUCUUCUAUAAAAGGAGCAGCAUGUUUGAGUUUGCUGCUAUUUUACAUCCUUUUGAUUCAUGACUCAUCUCAACAAAACAUCUUUCACUUUAGCCACAGAGAUGAAUGUCAAAGUCUGGCUUUAAUGCACACAAACACAAAUUUAAGCUCGCAGUCUGUCAACAUGCACAAACAGUGGGGUGUUCAGUUCGCAGUGAGGCGCUGCUCUGCAAAGACGGAUGGUUGCACGUGAUCAGUUUGAUAGUACGAAGGUGUCAGGGAUGUUACUCAGCGAGGCGGCACGGCACGGCUCCAGUAAACACUGAAACGCAGCAGGAAUAAACAACAUGUGUGACAGAGAUGUUCCUGUGAGGUUAUAUCUGACUGUUGGCGGUCCUACCUGAUGGUUCAAUCCCUGCAUUUUGAUACAUACUACAGACAACUUGGCUACACCUUCCGUUUGAAGCCGAAAUUGUAUUUCCAGGAUUUUCUCCACUUCCUGAAACCACCACUCGCGCAGUAGCAUUGGUGGAAUUUAUGACCUAUACUGCAGCCCGUCACCAGAGGGCGCUGUUCUCGUGGAGGCAGACAGCGUCCAUCCAGUAUAUGAUUUUGAUCUAGUAUCGAGGAUUAGAAAUAAAUGCACUGUAGCUGAAAAACUCAAGAAGUAGUAUAAUAAAUUUAAGACACUAAAAUGAGCUGAACCAAAACUUUAAAUCUCUAAACAAGCCUCUCCAGUCCUAUCAGUCUGGUAUCAGGAGGUACCGCUCAAAUAUUAACUUAUUUUGGCAGGAAAACCUCUGUCUUUGACUGCCAAAUGUCCUGAAGUCAGGAUGGACCCAUAACUCAUACGCAGCAGGAGGAUUUGUCUAAAACCAUGCUAGAAUUUCUGCAGAACAUCUCUGGAGUGACCACCAGCGGGAUCUGCAGCCCUGCUUUGCCAUGCCUUCAGUCACUUGCAGAGGAAUGUGUCAAUCAUUCUGCACCUGCAGCCUUGUCCCGCCCCCAGAUUUCACCGUUAACUUAAAGCCCUCAAAGCUCCAGUGAGGAACUUUAGAUUUGUGUCUUGGAUGUUUCAUUUUUUUAAUGAGUAUUUUAUGAGCAGUUUGGUUUGAUUUUUACAUUUAUUUAUUGUUUUGUAUGUUUAGUCUACUCUGUGGGAGAGGUCUGGGUAUAUUUGAUUAUUAGUCUUUCGUAUUUCGGCUGCAGAGAUCAUUCAGUUUAUUCAGAUAUUAAAGCCCGGUGGAACAGUUCACACCCCACAGAAAUAUGACAAGCCUUUAACAACCAAACCUAAGACCCAGAUCCUUAUCCAAACCCUCACCUAAAUUUAUUGGACUUGAACACUCUUAAACUCUAAAACUUCUUUAUCACUAAGACACACAUGUAAACUAAACACUACUUACAGGAUUUAAAGGAAACAUACAUUUUAGAUUCCUCCUUCCGUCUCUUCUCCAUGUGAACCUGUCUGCUUUUCUCCACUAGAGGUGCUGACUCUGUCACUUUCAGACCUCUCUGUCCGCCUCCUGAUAAACCCACUUCAUGUAAAGGAUACCAAUCCACCACAGGGAUAAAACCUCAGACUCAUAUCAUAGUUCAUCUCAUCAAUCCCUGUAGUUGUAUGAGUGUGUGUGUGUGUGUAUGUGUGUGUGUGUGUGUGUGUGUGUGUGCGUGCGUGCGUGUGUGCGUGUGUGUGGUAUAAAGUGGAUUUCUCCUGUUUGUGGGGAUUGUAGCCACAUAGUUUCCACAGUUGACCACGAUGAUGUCAGUGAAAAUCUAUAUUAAGUAAAUGUAUAUUAUGCACGGGAGUGUGGGGGGAUUUCUGUGCAGCUCUUUCUCUCCAUAUGAAGGUUUAAACAUGGCACCAUCCAGCAUCAAUAUUAAAUGGAUAAUUGAUUUUCAAAAUGAUCAGUUUGUGUUUGUUUUUUAGUAAAAAUGGCUGCCAGAAGUCAAAUAAAAUCUACAAACUACUUCAUUUCCAUUUCUUAGGUCAAAAUUUUACAGAACCUUGCCCUGCUGUGAGAUGCCAUCUAUCGCCUAUGCUUGUUUACAUCCAGGUAGUAGAGCAUCACAGCGCUAUGGCAGUAGCCUAUAAUCUGAUCUAGAGCCCAAUUUAAUGGCAGGGGGCUACGCUACGGCAUCAAUACGACUUAUGACCAGCUUCAGUCGCCAUAUUUGUUUAGUCAGCCAUAGUACUAGCCAUCAAACAUCUUUUUAGCUUUGCCUGGUUUCUUUAGCAAAGAGACUAAACACAACUCACCCACUCUCCUCCAGCAGCUGCUUGUUUGUGGGGGAGCCCUGACGAGUUGAGCACUGAAUGCAGCGGAUCAUAUCCAUUAUGAAUAAUCAUUAUAAUAAUCAUUUUUCACUGCAGUUCUUCUGCCUCACCGUCUCAUUUCCAUGAGGUAAUAAUCAUAAAUGUUCUUCCUUGAGCUGCGAAACUCCGCUGCACUCAGUGAUUGACUUGUCGGGGCUCCCCCACAAACAAGCGGCUGCUGGAGGAGAGUUUGGAGAGUUGUGUCUAACUCGAGGUGGUGUCUAACUCGUCAAUGUGCCCAUCUUCACACUGUAGUCCAACAGCCUUGGAGCAAAAGGAUCAGGGGGGUUAAAUGAUUUAUCUAAGACAACAUAUACUUUAUUUCUUAUUUUAAAAGCUGUUGUAAACUGAAGUUUCUGCAUAAAUGUGGAUCUUUCUCCAUCUUUUAUGAUCAUAUUUGACCGUCUGUACACUCCAGUAAAAUAAUAGAGCAUUCAGAGAUUUUUGUCUACAUCCUUCUGCUGACCACUCUAUGGUAACAUAUAAUUAGGUUAUAAACCCACCAAAGUUUAGAUACUUAUUAUUCAUCAAUCAUCUCCCUCAAUAAAGUAAUAUCUUCAAGUUUUUAAUGAUUUCCCAUAACUGCAGCCAUCUUCUGUCAGUUCACAGAGGAUCUAAAUAUCAGGCUGUGCUGCGGUUGCACUCUUUGAAAACCCUCUGUGUAAAUGACCCCGCCCAGUCCGCCACUCCCAGAGUGAGUUCAGCUUCACUCCCUUCCUCCUUUCUUUACUCCUCACUCUGACAGUCAACUCUACUCUGCCAACCUGUCUGAACCCACGUCCUAGGGCCACGAUUUUUCCACUUAAGAGGCUCAACCGCUGUGUCAUUUCUUGACUCGAACCCUCUGAAACAUGCAACACAACAAAGACGUGCGCCAAUGCUUCAAGUACAAUCUUUGAAGAGGAGGAGAAAGGCAAAAACAUCUUAUAAAUCCUGAUAUCCUGAUUAUAACUUCAGCUUUUUCUCAUCUGUUUGGAAAACAUACAGUAGCACGGCUUUCUGUCAUCCAUCAUUUGACUCAAAGACUUCUUGAGACUUCUUGCUGUUUUUCUGUCCUGCCAUGAGUGAACUUGAUUGAACCUCAGAGGUCAGGUUCUGGAGUGAAACACCCCAUGCUCACUCCUCUUGUUGGAGUAACAAUGGUGGCCUUCAAGGUUAAGAAGCUCCUCUGAUGCAUGAUGAGUGUGAUCCUCCAUUUGUCAAGUUUUUAUCAUCAAGACUAGGGCUGGGCGAUACACUGAAAAUUCACUGAUACCAAAAUUUAUGUCAAUAACUGACAUCAUUUUGCCUGUGUCAGUAUAUUCUGUGUCAGAAAAAUAGAUAAAUAAAAGUUGUUUUUGGAUGUGUGUUGGUAGGCUACAGUCUCAUGUCCCUUUAAGACGCCGCCCUGCAUCAAAAAAUUGCAAUAAAUGCGUCCAGGGGAAUCAUACUGUCAAUAUAACUGCCACAGCCCCAUCUAUUGGCUAAACUUUUUUUGUGGAGUAGUUAUCGUCCAUUUAUCAUUAUCGAAGUGAACUGCUCAAUAUAUCGUGAUAUUGAUUUGAGGCCAUAUCACCCAGCCCUAAUUAAGACACCUCUAUCUGUGCAAAAACGCAAAUAUACAAAAAGUACAUUCAUGUUACUAGUUUGUGCAUCCUGUAGAAACACUGAGGAGCAAGAUGUUGGCGUCUGUACGGUCACAUGAUCCUUAAAUGAUCCUUAUCUUCAGAUUGAUUACACACUCAUUUUAAAAGCAAACAUGCUGCACCUUUUAGUAGAACUUCAGUCUCGCUUUAAUCAGACGCGGGACUUUUUCUUCUGCAUGCAGCUCUUUCCGUGUCAGUCUCCAGACACCUCGCACACCCCUGACCGGCUGCUGCUCUGCUGAAACAAACGGCUCUUCUCAUCCUCCUUAUUUUCCUCCUGUGAGGAGUCACCAGGUGUGACCCUUGAACUCUGAGCCAAGCCCAUCCUCCCACCCGUGCUGCAGGUUGUGUUAACAGAGGAUUCUGACAUUGUCUUUCCUCUCUUUACCUCCUUUUUUUACAGACUGCUCCUUAGUUUACAUGCUUGUAACAAUGAGACCCAAAAGCUCAGAACCACGCCAAAGAUGAAGUGACUGCAAGGACUACAAAUACUUUCUCUGUGCAUGAAUGUUUCACCCAGUUGGCGUCUUUAUUUCUUUUUCACCUCCGUCCCAGAGUUUCUUCUAAAAAUAAGAUGCAAAUUGAGUCCAAAUAGAGGCAGAUUCCCUCAAAAGUGGCCCCCCGCUGUUCUGGUCUGUUCUUCGUCUUAUACCUGCUGAUGAAUUAGGCCAAACAAACCGCCACACUCGGUCAGGGGGCUGAACCAUGCAUACCAGAUGAGGCCGUAAUGAGAGAGAGGAUUGAGUGGAGUGGAGUGGAGUGCUUGUUUGUGGAACAAGGUGGAAAGAAAAUGGGAGGGGAGGGGGGCGACUCCCUAUAAAUAUCAUCCAGGGGGUGUUUUGUCAGAAGGGUGUGUGAGUGGAGCGAGCAGGAAAAGGCCGAGAGAAGGUAACAGAGUGUGUAGUGUCCCGGCUUGAGGAGAGAGAGAGUGUGUGUGUGUGUGUGAGAGAGAGAGAGAGGAACUGAAAGUGAGCGAGGGAGGAAUCAGGCGUAAUUACAGACAAACGGCAAGUCAGGACGGUUUUAGCGAGGGAACUCCGUGGACUGGGGAGAGGGUGAGCGAGCGAGAGAGAGAGAGAGAGGGAGGCCGAGUGUGACUCAGAGAAGAGAUGUUUGUUUGCUAGCCCUGUGGUUGCUGCCCAACAUGGCAACCGCCCGCUCGCAGCAUAGCAACCACUCCUUCCACUCAUCCACCGCAGGGAGAUUCCUCCUUAAAACGUAUCAUUUCAAAGAAAUGGGAACCAGAUACUUGUCCUUAUCAUCGGCGUUACCGCGGCAACGAGGCGGGCUUCUCAGGUCAUGCAAAUGUAAAAGAAAAACUUGGAAACAAACUUAGAAACUGCGGUAACCAAAGUGUUACCGCUCCAGAUUUCUGUUUGGUGCCAAUUAGACAAACUUUACUGUAAAAAAAGACUGAAAUCACUUUUUUGGCGCCAAUAAAGUAAAAAAAUAGUUUCUCCCCCAUGUUGCAUUAGUUACUGAUUUAAAAAGUCGCCAAAAAUACAAGCUCUCAACCUCAUGAAAGUGAAUGUGGACCUACAAAAAAUCUAAAUCUGCUCAUGUGUUUGCUUAAAGCUCCUGUAAGACAUUUUCUGCCCUAUGACACUCGACGUCAUUAAAACGUCUUUUUUCAGGCUAAGUCACGUUGGCCCGUCAUGGCUGUAAUUUAGCCCAAGAAAUACGUCCAAAACUGGGCUUUAUUUAGACAGUCCAAAUCUAGAUGUUGUUUAGACAUAUGAAGACCUCUUUUCUACGUCUUUUCCACCACUUUUUGCCGGGUGGGUACCUGACAGAGCACACAACACAGCUCCAGGUACAGGUUCUUGUAAUAUCAGGCACUGACCACGGCAACUCUUUACUUGCAGGCCUCCCUUCAUGCAUGAUGAUCCAGAAUCCAGCAUCGCAUCUGGUCUUCAACCAUCCCAAAACUGCUCUUCACGUCACUUUCCAUCUCUCUCUACUCCACAUCAAAUUUAAAGCCUUACCUCUCUCUGAUAAAACUGCUGCAUAAACAACUCCUGCCCACCUGCAGCCCCUCAUGCAGGUCUACACUCCUGCCCGCUUGCCACACCCUGCCACAACAGGGUUCCUGGUGCUCCCAAAAGUCAAUAGCCUGACUCUUCUUCUCUGUUGUUCCUCUGUGUUGAAAUUAAUUACCGGAUUCAGCUCUUUAGAGAACAGCUGUGCCCUUACCCCAAAUUUUCACCGUAUGCGGAACGGCAGUGAAAAGGCUAUCAGCGCUGAUCGCUGCUGAUCAUUUCCAUUUUCCAUUUCACACCAUGCAAACGUGGUUUGUUUCUUAGAUAAAGAUAAAUAUUGCACUUACCCAUGGUUAAUUCUCAAUCUCCACUGUAGUGUCUGAUCUACUGGUCUGAACAGAAUGGAUUUCCUCCUUUGGAAGGACACAGUCUACCGCUAAUAUGGUUAUGUGCCUGUCUUUAUUGAGACAACUCAUCAUCGUAUGAUUUCAUAGGUUCUUGCGAUUCCUGCUGUCCGAAAUUCAUCUCACAUAGGAAUUAGCGGCCGUUCCAUAUGCGGUGGAAAUUUGGGGUUAAGCUCUUCUCUUCUUCUCUAUCGUCCCCAGUGGUAGAAUAACUGAAACAAGCGCUUUGAUGCAACAGUCCCUUUCUACUUCUGAGACUCUGUUUUGCAAAGACGGCUCUUUGUUAACAGCUCAGCACUUGGUACUUUGGUGCCUAAUGAUAAAACAGUUUUGAGAAGACGUUUCCAAACUCUGACUGAGAUUUGUGACCUCAUGAGCAUGUCUCUGAUCCAGCUCUCAUUGUUUUAUUCCAGCAUUCAAAACGUUAUGAUGAUAUGGUUAGAUAACGCUGAAGUGUGGAUAGAAAUAUUGAGUGAAAGCAAGAGCACAUAGAGGUUCAGGAUGGGGUAAAGUUUUAACGCCAACACUUUAAAGACUUUCUUGCAGGUUUUUUCAACUUUUAACCUUCAAAUAAAUCCUAUAAGGUAUAAAUCAAACAUUUGAUUACAGUAGGGGCAGUGUAUUUCAACAUGGCUGCUGUCCUCCUGCAACCUCUAUCUGGGUGUUUUUCUCAGACCGCGAAGUGCAAUAUUUGGAUAAAGUGAGACGUAUAUAUUUUUUGAGCCUUGGCAAAGAGGUUUAAUCAAAACCAACCACACUGAUCCAGUCUUUUGAUUUGUUUCCCCGGGUUUCUAAGAUCAUAUCUUCGCCCGACUUAUACGAGGAGUUUUGCUGUCCACAGGAGGUGAAACUUCUUAAAGAGAUAAACUCCUGCACAUGGAUCGGCUGGAGGAGUAUCAAAGUGUCUGGAGCACAGAGUGUGAGUGUGUGCAGACAUCGACAAACAAUGCAGCGCUAUAUUUGUGAAAGCAGACUGGGCCUCAUGCUCUGUCUUGAGGGCGAAACGUUGCCGCAAAGUAGCAUCAUUAAAACCCGAGAUUUCUGCCCCAACGUGUUAAAAGAAAGCUCUGUGCCAUUUUGAAACCUGUCCAGCCGUGGCCAUUUUGUGUGAAAGCAUCAUUCACAUCCCAGGCUUAGAUUUCUGUGGAAAACUACCAGGGAGGCAACGCAUGUGUGUGUGUGUGUACGUGUGUGUGUCCACGAGCCUCUGUGUCUAUUGGCUCGUGGCUUCCCGGCUCACCACACCCUCCAUGUGUGUGUCAGGUGUGGAAGUACCUCAGGAAUGAGAAUAAGUCAGCAGAGUGAGAGGAGGGAACUUUACACACUCGAUAAAGAAUGUGCUUUUGAAGCUUUAUCUGCAGCAACAUUGAUCCAGUUUGAUGGUUUUCUUGUUCGUAUCUCAUUCUAGCUGCACGGGCAACAUAGAGGACGGUUUAGUCAGCAUUUCUGUUGGCAUAAACCCUCAGAAAGACAUACUCUCAGUGCAGCAGAUGGUUGUCACAAUGGCAACAUGGACGCGAGCUGUGAGCUAAUUACCAAAUUACUAAUUACUGUUCGAAAUGUGGACUCGUCAGUCCAUCUCAGAUGAGUUCAGGUCCAGCUGAUAUCUGGCUCAGGCUUUGUGUGGUGGAGUUUGAACUUGUACUUGUAGAUGUAGAGACGAACGGUGUGAACUGACAAUAGUUUUUUCUGUGUUCCUGAGCCUGAUGGGGGUUUUUAAUAGAGUGCUAUCUGAGGGGUCAAAGGUCAUGGGUGUUCCAUGUUGGUUUUGUGAUGAUGUUGGUUUUGUACUCGGAAGUCAGAAUUUCCGAGCUCUGAGUCGAAAUUCCUCUGGAACGCACCCCUGAAGUCGGAUUUCCGACUCAGAAAGUCGGACGAUUCCCACCAACCCUAACUUGACGACAACGUCAUAAUCCAAGAUGGCAGCGCAGUGCAUCAACAGUAAAGAUAGACAAUGAAAGCUCUCAUUAUGUGUUAUUUAUUAGACCUUCUGUUUUGUUUUUGUGAAAUUAAAUAAGUGGUUUAUGUUGUGCUGCCCAACGUCUAACUGUGAACACGGUGCAAUGGUGUUUGUAAGUAUGAAAUACUGUGUUCUGCUUUGUUUACACCUGGUAUAGCUAACGACAACUACCAACAGCUGACAACCGCUAAUGACAACUGACAAUUAUCAACAAUAGCUAACAACGGCUAACUGCAGACGUCCAUCUUGGUUUUCCAACUUGUUUACUGGAAUGCCGUCAACUCGGUUGUAACGUCAUUCCCAGCUCCAACAUCCGACUUCCAAAGUAACUGGAACACAGCAUUGGGCCUUUCUCUGGAUUUUCUGAAGAAUUGAUGAUUUUUAUGGACCGUAGAUAAUAUAAUCCCUAAAUUCCUGCAGUUGUACACGUAGAAACAUUGCUCUUAAAUGGUUGGACUGUUCACUCUCGCAGUUGUUGACAAAGUGGUGAACCUGGCACCAUCCUUGCUUGUGAAGCCUGAGCCUUUCAGGGAUGCUUCUUUUAUAGCCAACCAUCAUACUCACCUGUAUCCAAUGAACCUGUUCACCAAACAGGUAUUUCUGGAGUUCUCCCAGUUUUUUGUUAACCCUGUCGCAACUUUUUAGGAAUGUGUUGCAGCAUCAACUUCAAAAUUAGUGAAUAUUUGCCAAACACAACAAAGUUGACCAGUUUGAGCAUUGAAUAUCUUGUCUUUCAUUUAAAAUGUUCAGCAGAUCGUUGUAUUCUCUUUUCAUGCACCGUUUACACAAUGUUCCGACUUUAUUGGAAUAUGGAUUUAUAUUUCAGCAUUUUUGCCUGCCUGUGUCCUGGCAGGUUUCCUCCAGGUGCUCUUUUUACUCGUGAAGGAAGAAAAACACGCAUGACAAGUGAACUGGAAACUCAGAAUUGCCCACAGCCAUGAAUAUCUUUGUCUUUGUACUUGUGUGAGGAACCCAUCAAGGAUGUUUUCCAGGGUUUAGCUAGUGCAUGCUACAUCGAGCUCCACUCAGCCCUGACCUUUGAAAGUAUAUCAACACAGAAAUUAUGGUUUACGUGUACUAAAGCCUUUUUUUCCCAUUCUUUUAUACUCCAUAAUGUUUGUUAAAUCUCCUGUUAAUAACCUCACAGUAUAGAUAUGAUGAGCAGAAUGACAACACAUCUGUCAGGAAAAUUAUUCUGAUGCGUUUGCUAUUUUUAUCGGUUGCAUAGUUGCACAAAUCUUGUUUUUGCCAAGUUGAAAAGCCAAGCCCUCACAUUCCUCUGCCUGCUGGAGGGUGAUGGAGCAUACAGGGCUGAAAAAAUAAAACGAAGAGAGGAGAGGAAAGAAAGAAAGAAAGAGAGAGAGAGAGAGCACAUCUUUAAACGGUUAUUCAAGGCUUCCAGUCAGAGCUGCUGUGGUUUGGGAUGUGUGGGCUUGUGCAGAUGUGUACGCCAGUGUCUUGCAGGGGAUGUGCUGAUUCUCAUGGAGAAGCGGGGUGUGUCAGACCCAGCCUGUAUUUGUGUCAGCAUGAGUAAGGCUUCAUGAUAAGAAGGAGUAGGAACUUCCUGAGAAAUGGGUUGUGUUUUAUGGAAUCUUAAGAUAGGCAUCUAACUCUAAAAUGUGUAGAUCUUCCACUGAUUUGUUGGUUGUCAGUUUUGAUCACUUUAAUAGUCAGGGUUUUAACUUUGUUAGUGGAGAAUUUCUGCCCUGUUCUUACAAGAAAUUAGCUCUUCAUUAACCCAUUCAUAGACACACCUGUCACUCAAAAGUCAAUCUUAACCCCCUACAUUUCCAUCCUAUGGAGUUCCCCAAGGCUCAGUGCUCGGUCCUCUUUUGUUCUCCAUUAAAAUGCUCCUAAUAGCCUUGCACUUAAAGAGAAAAAAGACCUUGAACUUCAAAACUGUCAUAGCAAAUCAUAGAUAAAAUGUAUGUUUUGUUUUUUUUUUUCUCACAUUGUCGACAUAAUUUCUGGGGGCAACGGGACACCACAACCUUAUAUAAUGUUUUUUUGUUUUUGUUUUUUUUCCUAGGCCCUAAUCCUCUUCCGUUGUCUACUCUCUAAUCAUGUAGUGGUAAGACUUUGAUGGAUAUUACAACAGAUAUGACAUUUAAGUAUCUCGUUGACAUCCAAAUAAUUCAUCAAUGAAUUAUCUUUUUUAUUUUUACCAAAACUUUAGCGAUCAAGUUUCAAGGGAAAACAGGACGAAAGACGAGCAAAGGCUAAUCACUGGCAACGUUGAGCAGCUAAUGUCACCUGUGGAUGCUUGCAUUUAGUGUCAAUAUUCUCUUAAACCUACUUUUUUUUUUGCCAGUUUGAAACACUCAAACGAUAUCAAUAAUUGAAACACAAUUCCCAUCAUAUCUUUUAAAUGUGGAGUUCCUCAAGGCUCAAUCUUUGGUCCCCUCUCAUUCUCCUCUUUAAUUCUUCUGCCUGAGAUAAAAAUUCCGAAUCAAAACCAUGUUUGGUAUUUAUUAUAACCUUCACAUCCAAAUAAGCCUUCAGGCAACUUUUGCAGUAUUUUGACUCGUGCUAUCUGCCUCGUUUUCCUAGAAACCAAGAACAAAAAAGAUUAGUGACAAUGUUAGGCCAAGAUAUCAAUAUUCUGUUUCAGUAAUAGAUUUUCAAGUUUAAAACAAUUUCACUAAACUUAAUGUCAAACAAUAUUAAUUGUACUUGUCUUUUCCAGAAAAUAAGCUCAGACUGAACAUCUUAGUGAGCAUGUUGUGUGGUGCCUGAAUGAACAUGCCCACUUAAUGGCUUGAUUGUGUCAUUAUACAAAGAAGAACUUAGACGUAGUGCAGAGUAUCUCUUGGCAAAAGUGUGGCCAAUAACAACAGUAAAGAAACUUGGCUCCGUGUAAGUUUGUAGUAUUGUGAAAACCAGCAGCUGCUUCAAUGAGUGACUUGAUAACACACACAUGACCUUUAAUUCAGGUGCCAAAAAAGUACGUCUGAGGUUCAGCUGCCUGGAGAACGAAGGCUGACAUCCACACUAGAUAGCAGUAUUAUUGGAAAGCAAGUCAGGACAUAGUUUGAUGGACAAAGAACUCGCGUCAUACCAUUUUUGAGUGAUGCAAAUAUGAACCACAGUCUGAGAGAGCCAGGAAUACUUUGUUUCAUUACAAUCAAAUCGUAAUAGCUUGAGUUUAUAUCAUCAAAUGUUGCUCAGAAGUUUUUCUUUUCUGAUGCUCCAUGUGAUUAAGAUGUCAGGUUUAAUUAAUAGAAAAGCAAACACCUACACUGUUAUUUUCAUUCCUUAAAAACAGUCAGAAAAAAAAAACAGUGCCAAUUGUUCAGCUCUGGCAUACUCAACACUACAAACAGUGUACCAGUGUGAUACUGUGAAUGCAUGACCUGACAGCUGCUCUGCAUACCUUCCAGCGCUGUCAUCCAUCACGUGAUAAGAAACCGCAAAAUUACUUUAAAGGAGGGGGAAAAACAUCAGUGUCUCUCACCUGGAUGGAGCCAAACACUCAUCACCUAAGAGAGUAAUUCUUUGUCUGCCAUCCAUGGGAGGAAAUUACAUCCCUUUGGCACAAGGCGUGAAAUCUCUAUCUGUCCUUGGAUGACAGGGUGUAACCAAAAGAUUAGAGGGGAUGCAGCGCAAAUGAUGCUGUUGCUUGUUUGUCUUUGCUCAGCAGUGACUUUGUAGUUUCACUGAAUACUGACAAGCUAAGUCAUGAGUGCUUAUUUCCGCCUUUGCUUUUCCUAAAGCGUGAGGUAAUGUUUUCCAUUUUCAAGUCAAAAAGCCCCCCAGGCUGAUGACAGAAGAGGAUAUUUGGUUGGUUAAACUACCAGCCUAAAGGGUUGGCAUCCUAAAAAGGCUGUUCAAAUGUCUUCCUGCCGACAAUCACGUAAUGAAAUCUGCAACUCUGUCUUUCUAUACCUCUGUUGGAUAAGUGCUUUCAUUCAAAGCUAUACGCAGAGAUUAAAUUGGGCCGUAGCCCUCCAGAACUCAACUCCGCCUCCUCAGCUCGUUAUGCUUCACUCAGUGCGUUUACAUGCACAGUUUAAUCGGACUAAGCUCUUAAUUCGUGUUUUUGUUUUGCCGAAUCAAACAUCUCUCCUUGUCCGCGUAUACAUGCAGCUGAGAAAAUCGAAUUACUGACAUGAAUGUGUCCCAGUCCCCAAAACUAGGGGGCAAUAUGGGUCUUCUCAGUAGUGCUGUUUCUGGUUGACCCAACAACAACAGCAGGUUUGUGCCAGACGUCAGAAUUGGCUACCACUUUCGCUGGGCAUUUUUGAGCGAGAAGAUGGAGUAUCGUAGAGCGUUGUUUUUGUCGUACAUGAUGUACACGCUUCUAUUUCUGCAGAUGAGGUGCACACUACUCCUCUUCUCUGGUGUUUCUGUUCUGGGGUUACAGAGGCGUGGCGCACACACGCAUGCAUUGUCCAAUCGUACUCUGACUGCGCUGGUUAAAUGGUGGAGAAUUGAAUUCCAAUUACGUUAUCUGGGUGUCGUAAUCAGAGUUCUCCGACUCGAAUAGGAGUUCUCUAACUCCGAUUAUACUCAGACUAAGGUGUUUACAUGCGCUUCAGCUGUCCGGUCUUAAUCGGAGUACGGCAAUAAUUCAGUUUUCUCGAGUGUCAUGUAAACGUACUGAAUGUUUCAUCGUAAUCAUGGGUGUAGCUACCAAAAAUCAUUCAUUUAAAUCCCCAUCAAUACAUCAGCCUGUUCACUCAGCGCUGUGUCAGAGCUUCAUUACUGAAUCCAUUCUGCUCAUUUAUUGAGUUAAAACCUGAACCAAUGUCCACGUUUUCACUGCUACGGGCAUCUUCUCGCAUACCUCGCAAGUGCACGCACAGAAGGUGGAUGAAAUAACUGUCACAGCAAAAUGUUACUUUGUUAAUUUACUGAAACUAAAUGUCUGUAUUUUUCACCUUUAUGUUUCUGUGGUAAAGUCUCUACAGAGCUGAUGCUACGUGAGCAAAUUGUGAAAAGAUGAGGAGGGCGAGUAGUUUUCACUUGAUUAACCGCCGUUCUCAUUAGCUAACCGUAGACAAGCUAAUGCUAAGCUAGUGUUACCCAUUAGUCAAGUCAGUCCGCCACAGUCUCUCACAGAAAAAUAAAGUUACAUCGCCAACCCACCAACCCCCUCCCGCUGAGUAAAGAAGGACUCUUCCUCCUUUAACCACUGGCUAUAUGUAUGAUGCAUAAUUUGUGUUCCAGUGAGAAUAGACAUUUACCGAUUGAAACUGUAGACCCCCAAAGAGGUGGACAACUUGGCUGCUUCCACUUUUACAAACACAUUAAACUCUCAGGUGUAAAAGGCCUCGGGUUCAUUUAUGUGUCCGCUAUAAACCUUUGCGACGAAUGCAUCUUGAAACUCUGAUCACUGCAUUCACUAGACCUGUCAGGAUGUUUAGUAGCUUAUCAAACCAGCCAUUAAAAAUUCACUCUCUGCAGGCAGAGAGAGAUACUGAUUCACAGCUCUGUGCUCACAUCCUGUGUGACAGGAACACACCUGCAGGUUUAUCAGAGUCUAAUGCGACCGGAAAAUGCUCCCAUCAGCUUUUAUGGUGUUUAUUCUGUAACCGUCAUGGCAGCAGAUGGUCCUGCUGCUCUUCCUACAAAACAAUAGGAAAUGAUGUCACUGAGACCUGAGUAAAAACCUGUGUGAAAGCAGCUGUUUGUGGUUUGACUUUUGAGAAAGUUUGUUUCAGUAAAGAGAAGAGGGAGCCUGUCCUGACCCUGACUGUAAAAAGGUCAAGUUUGAUCACUGCUGAGAGCAGAGCGACAGGUGACACUGAAGUUCACUCCCAGACAGAUUCAGGCUAUUUUGGAAAAUGGUUUGAGGGGCUCUUAAGCUUGUUGUGAAAUUUUUCCACUGCCAAGAACAAAUGUGACAGUCAGAGCCUCAGUAUGCCGGGGCCUGUCAGGACAUUCCUCCCUCUGAAACCGGUAUCCCUCUUUUUUCCCCUCAUCUCUCCAUCCAUCCACCAAAAUGAAGGCUGAGGUGCAGAUACCGCCGAAUUGAUCAUUUAACGCUUCAUCUUAGAGUCCAGAAGGCUGUCAUGUAGUUUCAACGCUCAAUGAUGUUCAUUUACUUUCUUUAAUAAAUACUGUGUUUUGUUUAGGAUCAGACCUAUUCUGUGUUAAAAUGACUAAAGUUCAACUCAUUCGUUUUCUAUCAAAUUUGUUUCUACAGGAUAAAAAAUGUUGAACUGUUUGCAUAUUUACGUUAUUCUGACAUUUAUUGCAAAAUCAGGACAGAUAUCAUGACAUGAAGAUUUAUACUUGCUUUAUAUUAUACUAUAAUCCAAAUAUAUAUAUAUAAACUCAGCAAUUUGCCCAUUUGGUUGCUCCUGCUUGUGUUAUUAAAGCAUGCGGAGUCAUAGAUUGUGAAUUCUAUCAGAUGUGCAUGUAAAAGUGACAGAUCAGAUCCUGCUGUUUAUGCAUGAAGGAAAAGGUCAUAAAAAAAGAUCAAAUCUGAUCCAAUCUGCUCGUCACCUCUCUGAUUUUGAUCCAUUUUUAGAGUUACUCUUUCAUUAUGGCGGCAGAUGAGUGAAAAUCCUCAUAAUGUAGAAAUCUUUCAUGUUUUUUUGUAUGACAUGCACCUAAAAUGUAAAAAAAAGUGCGGGCCAGGACUUAAACUUUAACUUUAAUUAAUUACAGAAAUAUUAUCUCUUUUAAAACAUAAACGCAUUUUAAUCGCACCAACUGUAUUUUUGCACUGCAGAACAUUUCUCACUGGAAAUAAUACUCACUCUUUUCAGGUCAAAUAUUUGUAUGCGAUUAAUUGCGAAUAAUUGAUUAUAAAGCCUCUGACUUAUUAGAUUAAUUUUUUAAUCGAGUCCCAGCUCUAAAAAGAAGAUUCUCACUGAUAAAGCAGCCUUCAUCCCGGACAAACAAAUACAUUUAAAAGUUAUGAAAAUGUUUUAUUAUUAUUAUUAUUUUUUUAAUCUUUUUUUUUUUGUUUAAGCUCCAUAAUUUGUUAUUUAAGCACAGUAAGAGGAACAUCCAGCAGUAGACAGGGUUUUGAAGCAAAGCGUAUGUUUGUGAUUUGUUUCGUUUGUAUAAUCUGUAUAAAACUAAUAACAAUAUUAUUGAGUAAAAAACGUUUUAAAAACUCCUUAUAGCACCUUUAACUGACUUCAGUGCCACAUAUGUUUAGCUCGAUCAGUUUCAUUCUAGUUUGUAAAGCCUGCUUCAAAAUUGGUUUUUCCUGCUUCUAAUCAUAACUGUAUGGUUAUAAUUAGUGUCUGGAUGUUAUUAGGCAACUCAGCCACAUCUCGGCGUGCACACACAGAGCAGGGUUGUGUUGAAUCUUAUGAAAUAGACUUUCAUGCUAAUUUGAUUUAGUGCGUCUCAUAUGCAACAUGCCAAAAAAAAGGACACUGGAUGCAAUUUGUAGCUUUUAAAAUGGAAUCAAGCCAAAAAAAAGUGAAAAACAAGGAGUAAAUCAAUAAUUUCGAUGUGCUCGUAACAAAAUAUUUGCAUGGUAAAGCUUCAACUUCAGACUCAACAAAGAGGGGCCUCCUCUUUCCUCAGGUUACCUCACCCUGGGGUGAUGAUGAUGAUGAGGGGGUGUGUAUUUGUGGCAUUUCUGACUGUGAGGAGUGUAUGAGGACAAUAACAUCAGGCCUAACACAGACAGGUUUAUGAUUGGAGUUAUCGCUCGUGAAGUUGCCAGGAAAAUUGGAGCCCUGAGUGAACGGAAGUCCCUUUUCUUAAUGGUGAUAAAAACAAGCUUGAAUUCUUCACAAAUCAGUGAAGGUCACACAGGCCUGUGCAUGUUAUACUCCCGUCUGUACAUUCUCCAUAUGUCCUUUUAUGCAUUGUUCCUCUUAUACCAUGAUACUUUAGUUAGAUUUUCUUUCUCUGUGGCAUUCGAGGCCGCGCUUUGAGUCGGCUCUGGUCGUUUCUCUGCUUAAUAGAGCAGCUGCUUUGUGCCAGAAGGCAAUAUUCCUUAUUACUGGAAAGAAUUUUGCAUGAGUCACUCAAAAACGACAACUUAAAAAGAGAAAAUAGCCCUCAGUGAUGCCAGACAUCAGAUUGGUUCUGCCCGCCGUUUUCGUCCACAAAAUAUUUUCGAGGCUCAUUUGAUGCAUGAAGGCUGCGAGAGCUACGGAUUUUUCCUUUAGCUGCAGGAGUCAAACCUGUGACCCUCGGGGGUAUAGAGGACUCAGCAAACCUGUGGAUCAUAAAAACAAGACUCCCCUCGGCCGCCUCAGUCCUGAGCUGACAGGAAUAAAUACACACAGAACACAGAGCGCUCUGCAGACAUUCACAUGCAGAAUCAUGACAGGAUUUACGUUACGCAGACAACCUCAUACAAACACUGAAGAUAAAUAUACUGCAGAGCACAUAAGUCAGGAGUGUGUGUGUAUGUGAUCCCACACAAAUAUAGACACACUCGUAUUUACACACAGACCUGCACACAGGCUCUGCUUUUAUGUUCUCAUCUUCAUUUGUACCUUUUUUUAACUUAAAGACAAAUAAAAUAAUAACAAAUUCUAUUAAUAAAACUCAAAGAUGCGUCUUAGUUUAAGAGCUUUCCACACCAACUGUAAGUGACUCUGUGUGUUUAUUUUUUAAAGUACAGGCUCAUUUCAGGCUCAUAUCUACUCAAUCUGGGUCUCAUUUAUCAACUUCUUUCACACACGCUGUUCCUGGUUUGGCUCUAAUCCGAGUCAAAUCUGUGAUUUACUCUUGGCGAAAUAAUCAUGACGUCAAUAUUUGAGUGAUUUAAAAUGGAUAUCCUUCCAGACACACAAUGCUCCGAGUGAUUUUCCUUCAUUAUCUGGGAAAUAGACUCUUUAAACAACAGUAGUAGAAGUUUAGUAGAGGGAUUUUUUUCCAGCAUGUCAUGUAUUAAAGGGACAAGACACUAAAAAUUGAAAACUUUUAUUUGGGUUGGAAAGUUGCUAAAACUUUUGCUUUAGUUUGACUCAACCUGCAAAUUAACUUCUUUCUAUGUAGGAUGACCAUCCGUCGUCUUUUACCAAGACAUGUCCUCUUUUUUAGGGGGCUGUCCAGGUUUAUCUGGGGAAGUUUAUAAAAUCCUUCAAAUAUCUGCAGUUUUGUAUAUAAGCUUCUAUUUUGUGUCACGUGGACUUUCUGAGUUAGAACCUGUAAAAGACACUCAAUCCACCCUGCAUAGUUGUGUCCUCUUUUUGGGAAGUCAGAAUAUGGUCACCCUAUUUCUAUGGAUCUCCUUUAGACUGACUUUGCAGGCUCUGUAGUCUAACUACUGUAGAUCCAUUUGCGUAACCCCAAAAGAAAGAUGUUUUUAGCAUCUUAAUGAAUCUAAUCCAUGGUUGCACCAUGUUGUUGCCCGUACGUCUCAUGGUUCCCACCCCAUGUCACCAUAUAAUGCAAGUUUAGUGGGGAUUUUUACACUCACCCAUGAACACAGUGCAUAGCUCUGUUCUGCAUUUAGAUUAUUUACAGCGGUGGUUCCCAAACUCUUUCAGCCGUGCCGUUCUUUGGAGGAUGAAAGUGCUUAAAUUGUCUCAUGUCUAUCUUGUUUGUUCAGACGUACAGAACGUAGUACUGUUACUGUACAUAAAAACAUGAGAGUAACUUCAGUUUUGUCGCUCGUUUUAGUUUGAUUGUGCCUCUCUUACAUAACCAUUUUUUCAUUAAAUCAGAUAAAUCCGACAACUUUCAGCACAUUUGACUGUUGGAAUGCUAAAAACAUCCUGACACACAGAAAGUGAAGGAAAGUCUGGGUGUGUCCCUAAACACACAUCUACGCUAAAACACACACACACUCACUCACAAGCAGACAGACCAAUUAUUAAGGCGCAAGUACACCUUCUCCUUAUGUUCCUUAAGGUGUUACAAACCAAAGAGGUGAGGGUCCUUUGGGUGUUAACAGGAAAUCCCUGUGUGUGCUGUAAGUGUGCUGAUAUCAUUGUUCCCCCUAGAAACUCUCGGGAUAAUACGCAUUUGUUCCCAUGAAGUCAGAGGAAGCGUCCCACACCGCUCUGCAUCAGAACGCAGAGUCUCAGAGGAGUUCUGGUCGGGAUGUCCUGGAAUGUGGCCGUUUGGUGGAUUAAUUAAAUAUUAACCUGCAAGAUAUAGAAGCUCGAAAGGCCAGAAAGAGGUCAGCCAGCGGGGCUCCAAGUGGAGCAGAGGCAGCAUUUUUAACAAUAGUAGAGUUUAAAGUGAUAUUUCAAGCUACACCAGGAAGAAGAUUGUAAAAGUUAAAGGCCAUUUUGAGUGGUGCUUCUUGGCUCAACUGAUCAGUGUGAAGGUCAAGUUUAAGUACGACUCAACUUCUAGUUACACCAACUUUAUUUACACUUUCUCUUUGACAAACUUUCACUCCUUGGGUAUAACCUUCUUACAGCACAAAAUACCUUCAAAUUUAUGAAGUCUAAGGAGUUAAGGAGUUCAUCAGUUAUUUGGCUCAAAACAAAAUCUCUUUUGACACUUAACAUUACGGGCCGUAAAUCAUUUCGUCAGUGGGCAGAUCCGACCAAUGAAUUUUGAAAGUAGGAGUUACACUAUUUAGAAAUAUCUUAUCUUCCCUCCGAUGGGCUCAUUUGCUGUUGUAGGUGACACAGAUGUAUCAGGAGAAGCGAGAUACUUUUUAAAAUCUUGUUAAAAGACACUUGCGCUUCCCUCAUCUCGAUCAACAUCUACUCCUUUGUCAUUAGGAGUUCCCCAGGGUUCAAUGCUUGGUCCUCUUCUAUUCACCUUCCGCACACUCUCUCAGUGAAAUCAAACACAAACGUGGUCUUCCUUUGCAUUGUUAUGCUGAUGACUCUCUGCUCUUUCAUAACCAGUCAGUUGGGAACUAAGUCCUCCAGACUCUGGUCCCUGGUUAAAGUCCUGCAGUAGAAUCGUGUCUUUUGAUUGGAGGGGAAAAGUAUGUGUUGGUUGUAAAAAUCAUCCGUUUUUUUCAUCUGGAUGGACUCUGCACAUCUGUCCCAAAUGUCGAGUUAAAUUUUCAACAAGUAACUGAUGUUUCCUGUUUGGGCCAAAACUUUUAAACAGACUGAUUGACUAACAUCUGCCUCCUUAUAAGGCUCUGUCACUGGCUGAGCAAAGAUCUUGUUAAAACCUCAUCACACCACUGGCAUCCAAACUCAAACACAAACCAAAAGCAAUAACUUCCUCUGCUGCUCUCUCUCUUUCACACGCUCACAUUCUCUCAUGUCAACACCGUCCUCUGUCCCCGCCUCACCCUCAGGCCAGCCGGGUCUCCCCUCCCUCACCGAACGCUUUUCAGUCUGAGCCGCCCUGUGUGUGUUAAUCCUGGAGUAUUGUGGUGUUGCAUUGUCACCCUGAUCGCUUGCUGGGAUUCUGCUUUGCUGUCCUGACCUACUUUUUUUUUUUGUCUCCAAAAGUUGUGUCCAGGGCCUCGGUGUCUAAACAAAAGAGGGGACUGUUUACAUGUUGCCCAUCAACGGGCAGGAUGAUGAAGCUGCCACACUAACAAAUGAGAUGCAAAGUGAAGGACGGUGUGCAGGUUGGCUUUGGAGAGGGACAACCAGAAGUCCUCUCAAGGAAAGCAGUUUAUUAGUUUAGUCAUGGGUAGAGCUGAGAUACUAUCAUUGACGAUUUAUUAACACAGUAACAAAAAAAUAAAACCAG